This 45287-nucleotide long non-coding RNA is filed under the name Fragaria vesca (wild strawberry). RNAcentral's name for it is "long non-coding RNA (FVES_LNC003472)". Lineage: Eukaryota; Viridiplantae; Streptophyta; Magnoliopsida; Rosales; Rosaceae. The record is from RNAcentral.
UACGCAUGGUCGUUUUUUGAUGACUUCGAAUGGGAUGCUGGUUACACAGUUGGGUUUGGCCUAACAUUGGUUGAUGUCAAGGAUAAUCUGAAAAGAUACCUCAAGUAUUCUGCCUAUUGGUACAAGAUGUUCCUCCUACACUGAUAUGCUGGUUUAUGGAUUGAUCCAUCACAAGCCUGCAUCUCGAUCUAUGUACUCCAAAUAAAUUAAGCUGUUUCUGUUUUAAUUAAUUUCAGUCUUACCAAUAAUCUAUGCAUGUAUUUCAUCUAUCUAUAUAUCUACAAAUUAGUCAACACGUAUUUCAAAUAGUUUCUAUAACUCUCGUUAAUAAGAAUAUAUAAAUCGGAGUAGAUUCUACGCACCAAAGUGUAUUUGUACUAUUAAUGUGCAAAUCUUUAAAUCGUCGUAUGCUAAGAUCCAAUGAAGACUAGAGACCCUAAAUUUCUUGAUUUCAUUUUCAUUUUUGAUCCGAUCAAAUUAAACGCCCAUCAUAAGAGUGUCUCGUAUUCGACCCCAGGUCCUCACCUUUUGUCUUCUGUGUUAGAAACACCUAGGACUAUUUUUUUGGGUUUCAGUUUUGUUAACGGUAUUAGAAUACAUGCAUGAUAAUGCGAUGUGAAUGACCGGAUAAAAAUAUUGCAUAUUAGUUGCUCGGUUCACUCGCAUCUUGGUGCGUAGAAGAAUUUUCGUGAAUAAACUAGGGUAAUGACUUGUUCUAGUCCUUUUGGUUUUGUUAGUUUGCAUUUUCUUUUUAUACAUCGUUUGAACUCUAUGCAUUUUUGUUGAAUGCCGUAAAUUGUGCAUCAUGAAUGUUCAGUUUUCCUGUAGUGAUGGUAGUUUCAUUUAGGUUGAUUUUGGGUCACCUGGCAUGACUUAUUUUAUUGAUUGCGCUUGCGGCAAGUCAUGUUUGUAAUUGCCAUUCUUGUUUGGUAUAAAAGACUUAACAUCCAUGAUUCAAGAAAAAUAAUAUAUCCGGCUAGUUUUCUGUUUAUAUACUAAGCAAGUUUAAUUAUUUCAUGGAAUAAAAACUUAGAAAGGGUGUGGCUAAAACACUGUUGACAAUAGAAAUGAUUUGUGACCAGCUGCUAACCAAGGUCAGUUGCAACUGUCACAGCCUAUUCUCUAUACUAAGAGCAUCUUUACCAAUACUAGCAGUUUUUGAGUUAAAUUUUAGUCAAAUUAACUAAAAUGUCAUUUUGGCUAGCGACAUUAGAAAUACGUCUGCAUCAAUGUUCUCUACUUUAGCUAGUAUUAAAUUAAUGUUUUUUUAUUUUUAUUUUAUUUUUUUAUUUUUAUUUUUUAACAAAGGACAUUAGCGCCUAUUUUUAUUGUUCACAACUUGAGAGUAGAUACAACAACAUGAACACGAUCCGCCCGCAAGGGCUAUGUAAGAAGUGAUCAAUCCUGCAAAACUACCUAGUAGACACUAAGCAAUCUUUAUGCCGAAAAAAACCAAGGGGUGAAGCACUAUGAUCAAUCAAUAUUGUCUUGGUAGCAACCAAAUCAAGUAACCAACCACCAAGACACAAGCUAAGAGAAAGGUACAAGUCCUCAACCUAUCAUUAUUAACUAUUUUUGAGACCACCCUAUGCAAAGGGGCAACCCCAGAGCAUCAAAAUAACCUAAUUAUAGACCGAAGCCAAUGCCUAAUUAAUAUUAUUAUUUAAAUAAAGAUUAAAUAGUUUAUAUGUAUUAUAUAUCACAAAAAAUAUCUGAAAAGGAAGGCAUUAUAGAGAGCUUCAUCUCGCUCUUUAUAUUUAGCUAGUGUGAUAGUUAAAAGUCAUAAUAUCUAAACUUUGACUAGUUUGCUAUAGCUUCUAAAAUACCAAAAAAACUAAAAUAGAGAGUUUGAUAAACAUGCUCUAAAGCCAUGAACAAUAUUUCCCAAAUUGAAGUAUGAUUUUGUAUCCCCAUUUCUGUUAGUUUCAGCCACUGCCCCCACUAUAUGUUCCUAACUGAGUCAUUGCCCCUAUAUAUGUCUAGGAUUAGGAUCCUCUCCUUGGCUGAUCCCGAUCCUUGGUUGUCCUUGACUUCCAAUCUCAACCGUCAAUUGGAAAUCCAAUGGUGAAGAACAUGUCCAACUUAGCAAAAUGACAAUAAAUGAUGCAAAAAAUAAAUGACAUCAACAAAACCAUGUUUUUUCUGGUUAUCUCCUCUUUAUCUUCUCCGUUCCACAAAUUUUUUGUUCUAAUGUUCCACCAUUAUCAAAGACUCAAGCAGACUUCCAGAUUUGUUUCACCUCAUGAUCUCAUUUAUCAAACAAAAAGUUGUUUAUAUCCAUCAAUACCCAGCAAAGGAGGAGCCUCUCAUCAGCUUCUUCAUUCCUAUUCUCAUUUAUCAAACAAUGAAUUGUUCAUAUCCAAUAAUACCCAGCAAAUCAUUUCUCUUUAUUUAUGCCCGGAAUUUCAAUUGCCUAGAAGGUUACCCCACUGAAAUAGAACAUUCAUUGAUUCCUCCAUUGUGUUUCUCAGAUUAUCAAAUGAAAGUAAUCCCUUCUGUCCUUCAGCCUAUGUAAGCAUAAAAUAGAAAACAGAAAUGAUCCAUGUACCUCGAUUUUGACAUAUACAGUUUUUGACAUCUCCAGAAUGAAGUUUGUGUAGAGAUGAAAAUCAGAAAGAACAAAGAACAGAAGAUUGGAGAAUACUAAUUGAUGAAGAUGAUGACGAGGUUAUCGAUAUAGCUGUUUCGAUUCAAAUGAAAUUGGACUCUCCUUGACACCAUAGCUGACAUGGUUAGUGGUGAUCCGAUUGAAAUCUCCAGAAAAAGAAUGAAAGAGAUAACGAAGCCAAGAAGAUGAGAUAGAAACGAGGCGUCAUGAAGUUUUUUUUUUGUUCAAUAUGUUAACGGAGGAGAUGAGAUAACAGAGCUGUUUGUAUUGGAAAUUGUCAUUUAGAUAUUUAAUGAAUAAAAGUUGAGGUGGCUAAAUUAUAACCUUUGGAUAUCUAGUUAACGGACAAGAUUGGAAGUCAAGGACAACCAAGGAUAGGGAUCAGCCAAGGAGAGGAUCCUGAUCCAUAUGUCUAUGGGGAAAUUAUAAACUGAUCCCGGAACACCAUGUGGCAUUUAGUCUCUUCUAAUGCUAUUGGUCCAAGUGUUCUUAUCUUAUUUCUGAUUGGUCUAUUUAUUUACUUUUACAUUUUUUUUCACCCCCUGCUGGUCCUCACACGAAUUUCAGUUAUAUAAUUGGCUAGGAACACCACAUGGCAAUGUGGUGUUUCGAGUACAGGAAAUAAUUACUCAUGUCUAUGUUCCACCACUUCAUCUUUUGAGUUUGGUUUAGUUUUUUUGGUAGAACUGGAAACAAAGAAAUGGUAAAUAGCCUUCUUAGUUCCAGGGUUUAUUAAAAAGAAAAUAAGAUUACAAGAGGAGGGGAGGGGAAAUAACACCAAACCUCUUGUAGUCGGUUGUGUAUAAAACAACCUCCCAAGCCCGUAAACCAGCGGGCAUUCCACCAAAACCGAGGCCGCCUCGAGGUACCCGCCAAUAAGUAGGGUGGGCCGGCCUUGACCUCGGAGACAGUAUUGGGCUGGGAGUGGUUUCAAAAGGCAUAAGGGAGCUGUGUGUGAAGUAGCAGCAAAGGCAGUUGUCCCACAUCGUUUCUCAAGUAAAGAGAACCCACUCUGAGCCAUAAAUAUGGGCCAGCCACUAGUUUGUCAGGUAUAAUAACUACCUUCAGUAAUUGCUCUCUACCACAAGAUACUAACUUAAGCUUUGGAGAAGGAAAGACCGGAAAUCCUUGUUAUUGCAGGUCAGCAAGAGGACAGCCAACCAUCUGCCAGACACGCCAUCAGUUUCUGCGAACCCAUCAGGGAUCGUACAGAAACAUUUGGCGCCAUCUGUGGGAAACUUUACAAAAAGCCAGUGUGACUCGAUGACUGACUUAACCGAGCAGCAAGAGCAAGAGGCGGGACUGCAAGAGCAGAGGGAGGCGAUAUACGGAAGGACCCCAGAAAGAGCAAGGGGAAAUUCAAGAAUGGCGGGGAGAACCUCACGGGAUGAAACACCAGAAUAUGUGCCGAGAGAUCUCAACCCCCAAGAGGUAGCCGAGAUGUUGGAGGAUAUGAGGACACAAAUCGCCCGGCUAGAGCGGCAAAGUGUCCAAGAUCGAAUAGAAGCUUCCGGGAGGGAGCGUAGGUUGGAAAAGGAAAACGCAACUCUCGUAAAUGCGCUAGCUCGAGGAGUUGAGCGCUAGGAGGCACUGGAUCAGGUGGGAGAAACAGACCGAGCGGCGACGUCUCGCCAGACAGGCGCCCCGGUGGGAACAGGCCGCAGGACAGUGCACAUAGGAACGAAUUUGUUCCCGGACGAAAUGAGGGAUGAGGGACCGCCGCCCCUGCCCGAACCGAUCCUAGAAAUCCAAGUUAGGAGGCCGGGAGAGAUGGAAGAAACCCUAAGAGCUAUCCGGGAUAGCGUGGCAAGUUUGGCAGACCGAAUCUUGGACGCUGAGAGAAGAGGGGCACGGAACCAGCCCUGCGCGAGUUUCAAAGAAAGAGGGGGACCAUUCACAAGAGUGAUCACCCAGUCUGUCCGAUCAAGCACAGCCAAGCCGUUGAAGCUUAGCUACAACGGGGUCCGAGAUCCCUACCUAUUCUUUGAUAGCUUCAAGUCUCACACGAACGCUAAAGGAUACUCGGACGCGAUAUGCUGCAAUAUGUUCCAGGAAACCUUAGCAGGGGAAGUGCUCAGUUGAUUUUAUGAGCUCUCGACGAACUCGAUCGAUUGCUUCCGGGAUCUGGUGGACAGGUUUGUCAAUAGGUUCAUUCUACGGAUGGACGAGCAGAAUACCGCCCAACUGUUCAAAGUACAACAAGAUAGAGGAGAGGGGUUGAAAGCUUUUGUGAACCGCUGGCAAGCGGCCACAGCUAGAGUCAGGACAUUCGACAUGAAGGUUGCCGAGGAGGCGUUCAUUCAAGGACUGCUUCCCGGGAAGUUCAUGUAUGCAAUAAAAAUCGAAAAUCCGCAAGGCUAUGACGAGCUUAUGGAAAUGGCGGUCCGGCAUGCCCAGGCAGACCAUGACACUUAUGGGGGGACCUCGGUCGGGAAAAGGAAGGUCGAAGGGAGAGGUUCCUCGGUGCAAGUGGUCUAGGAGGUCAGGGUUUGGAUGGGAGAGCAAGAGCUAAACUCGUACUCUUCUGGAAAGAGACAUAAAGAGAGGAACGGGAGGAAGGCAGGGAAGCAAUAUAGCGCUCACGGGAAGGCAAAGAGCCCCUACCAAGAUACCGGGUAUACAAGGAUGGCGCCGGCAGCAAAAGAGCAGUUCUCAACGCUCAACGCCACCUACGAGGCGAUAUGGAAUGAAAAUAAGUCUGCCAUUCCACCUCCCCCUGCUAGGAAGUUCCCCGAGUCCUCAAGCCUCACCAAAGAAGACACGGGAAAAUUUUGUGGGUACCACGGGGAGGCAAGUCACCAAAUAAAUAACUGCAUUGAGCUAAAGAGGGCGGUUGAGGGCCGAUUGAAAGAAGGAAAAUUGCAGCAGUAUGUGCCCGGUCAGAGGCAUGUCGGAGGAAUCGAAGUGUAUGGGACGAUUAACACGAUUCAUGGCGGGUCCCGUAUAGAUAAUAGGAGCAACAAGGCAAAAAGGCAGUGUACGGGAUCCAGGGAUGGCCGGGAGGUAUUUGCAUUUGGAAGUAGCAAUAAUCAGCAAGUGACCACCGGCUGGAAAUCCGUUACCUUCCUGGAAGAGGAAGAGGAAGGGAUAAGGCCGCAUGAGGACCCGUUUCUAGUAACAUUGCAACUCGAUCACUAUAUCACGAAGAAUAUCCUGAUUGAGACAGGAGCCUCAGUCAACGUGCUGUUCAGAAGUGCCUGGAAAGGACUGCAUCGAGGAAGUAACAAGUUGAUACAAGACCACGAGCCGUUAAUCAGUUUCUCGGGCGAUGUCGUUCAGCCCCUCGGAUCGGACAACUUUGGGGUAAGCAUGGAAGGCCGAGAAGGAGUCGCCCGGGCGAUAGUGGAAUUUAUUGUGGUGGACUGUGAGUCGUCUUACAACGGGAUAUUAGGAAGGCCCGCCUUGUUGAAGCUGAAGUCUUUUGUCGCUGGCCACAUGUUGAUGAUGAAGGUUCCAACCCCAACAGGAGUCAUUACGAUCCGGGGAGACCAGGGGGCGGCAAGGAGUUGUUAUGCGAUAGACAAUGGGAGGAAGAGAUCUGAGGUUCUAUUGGCGAGCCAGGCCAUGGCAUCCCCCUCGGACCCUUACAUGGAUCCCAGGGAUGAUACCGACUAGGAUGAAGAGCGCCCGGGGUCGGCUGAAGAGACAGAAAUGGUCUCAAUCUUAGAUGAGUUCCCCGGUCGGGAAGUAACCAUCGGGACGGGGCAGGCACCCGGAGUAAGAGCAGCCCUGGUAAAGUUCUUGAAAAGAAACAGUGGGGCAUUCUCUUGGACGUACAAAGACAUGCUCGGGAUAUCAAGCAGCAUUGUGACACACCGGCUUGGGAUCGAGAAGGGAUUCCCUCCCGUGAGGCAAAAGCGAAGGACGUUUAAGCUAGAAAAGUACGAAGCAAUGAGGGGGGAAGUACAAAAGUUAAUAGACAUCAAGUUUAUACGGGAGGUCAGAUACCCCUAGUGGUUGGCCAAUGUGGUCAUGGUUCUAAAGAAGUCAACAUGACAGUGGAGGAUGUGUGUAGAUUACUCAAAUCUCAACAGAGCAUGCCCAAAGGACAGCUUCCUGCUCCCAUGAAUAGAUCAACUGGUGGACCCCACGUCCGGAUUCGAAUUGUUGAGCUUUAUGGACGCCUAUGCGGGCUAUAACCAGAUCCAAAUGGAUCCAAGGGAUGAGGAGCGUACAGCUUUCACGACCGAUAGGGGCUUUUAUUGCUAUAAGGUAAUGCCUUUCGGACUGAAGAAUGCGGGAGCGACUUACCAGCGACUGAUGAAUGUCAUGUUAGCCGAGUACCUCGAGAAAAUAAUGGAGGUAUAUGUCGAUGACAUGCUGGUCAAAAGUCUAAAGGCCGAGGAGCAUGUAGGGCAUCUUGAGAAAGUCUUCGAAGUCAUAAAGAGGUUCGGGAUGAGGCUAAACCCUCAGAAAUGCAUCUUUGGGGUUGUUAAAGGGAAGUUCCUGGGGCAUAUAAUUAGCAGGAGGGGGAUUGAAGCCAACCCGGAAAAGAUCCAAGCCAUAUUGGACAUGAAAAGACCCAAGGAAAGGAAUGAAGUGAGUUCAUUAGCCGGGAAGAUUGUCGCCCUUGCUAGAUUCGUGUCACGACUCACGGAUAAGUGUGCCCCGUUCUUUCGGCUGAUGAAAGACCAGCGGUGUGGGGACCCGAGCAGGAGGCAUUCAAACAGAUAAAGGCAUACCUCACGUCCGCGCCGGUUUUGUCAAAACCAAUCUCGGGCAAGAUGUUUUACCUGUAUGUCGCAGCAUCACAGUCAGCAGUUAGCUCGGUCUUGAUAAGAAAAGAGUCUGAUAUCGAGCACGCUAUAUUUUACGCCAGGAAGGGAUUCCCACCAGCCGAGAGCAGGUACCCGGACGUGGAGAAAUUAGCCUUGGCACUUAUUGUAACCGCUAGAAGACUGAGGCACUAUUUACAGGCACACUCGAUAACCCUUUAUACCAACCACCCCCUGAGACAGAUCAUGCAAAAGCCAGAGAUCAGCAGAGACUAGUGAAAUGGGCGAUUGAAUUGGGGGAAUUUGAUAUCCAUUACCGGCCGAGAGUGGCAAUCAAGGGCCAAGCAGCGGCCGACUUCAUAUCUGAGCUCACGCCCAUGAAAGUUGUGGGAGAGUCUCCUGAGUUCACGCUCAUGAAAGUGGUGGAGGAGUCCCCUAAGCGCAUUCCCAAGAAAGUUGUGGGAGUAUCCUCCGAGACCGGCCGGGAGGAAAGUUGUCCCGGAGCAGAUAAUGGGAUACACAGUGAGGAACCGCCGACUCAACUCUGGAGGUUUUUUGUUGACGGCUCGGUGGCGAGAAAUAAAAGCGGGGCAGGAAUAAUAUUAGAGACUCCCGAUGGAUUCAAACAUGAGUACGCCCUGGAAUUCCAAUUCAAGUCAUCAAACAAUGCGGCUGAAUACGAAGCUUCGAUUGGCGGAUUGCAACUCGCCCGAGAUAUCGGUGUGGAGAGUGUAGAAGUGUUCAGUGAUUCGCAGCUUGUUGUAAAUCAAGUCAACGGGACCUUCAUAGCCAAGGAGCCUCAGUUGAACUCUUACAAAGCACUGUCGAAAGCCUUCAUGCAACGCUACAAGUCGGCCUCCCUCUCUCACAUCCCGCGAAAGGAAAACAGUAAUGCAGAUGCCCUCGCCCGGCUAGCCACCGGAGGGCCCGGGAAAGGCAGAAAGAAGGCAAGGAUUGAGGUGCUUGGAAAGCCAAGUAUUAGUAAGACAAUCUCGGAGAUAUUCAUGGUUGAGUCGGGUCCCGGAGAGCCUACAUGGAUGGACCCCAUACUCGAGUUCAUGAAGGAGGGGGUGCGCUCGGAGGACAAGCGUGAAGCAUGAAAACUCCAAUCGAGAUGUGCAAGGUACACACUCAUGAACGGAAAGCUAUACCGAAGAGGUUACAAUUUCCCAAACCUCAAGUGUGUAACAGAAGAGGAAGGAGAGAUGAUCAUGGGAGAAAUCCAUGAGGGCGUGUGCGGGAAUCAUUCUGGAUCCCUGUUGCUAGCUCACAAAGCACUCCGGAUGGGUUUCUUCUAGCCCAACAUGGACGCCAUGGCGGAUAGGAUGUCGGCGAGAUGCCGUAAAUGCCAUUUGCACGCUAACGAGAUACAUUCUCCGUCCAUUGCUCUAUCAAUAUUAUUGUCGCUCUGGCCUUUUGCACAAUGGGGCUUGGACCUCAUCGGGAUAUUACCAACGGCACCCGGGCAGUUCAAAUAUGUGAUAGUGGCUGUUGACUACUUCACGAAAUAGGUGGAGGCAGAGCCCCUAGGGAAUAUAACCACCGAGAGUAUGAAGAAUUUCCUAAUGAAGAACAUCUACUGCAGAUUCGGGGUCCCGGAGACAAUCAUCACAGACAAUAGCACACAAUUAAACAAUAACCAUUUGAUUGAAUUCACGAAGGACAUGAGUACCAAGAUGGUCUUCGCGUCGGUGGCACACCCGUAGACCAAUGGUCAGGUAGAGGCGGUUAACAAGAUCAUUAAAAUGCUUCUGAAGAAGAAGUUAGAUGACGCAAAGGGUCUGUUGGCACAAAAGCUGCCGGAGGUAUUAUGGGCAAUUAGAACCACAGCAAUAGAAGCAACGGGAGAAACGCCUUUCAGCAUGGCCUUUGGCAUGGAGGCUGUUUUGCCAAUCGAGACAUCAAUACCAUCAGGAAGGGUCAAAAAGUUCGACGCCACAACCAAUGAGGCAAUGAAGAGGGUCUCCGUUUGAACAUUGACCUCAUUGAGGAGAGGAGGGAGAGAUCAGACUUACACAACCAAGUCUAUAAGCAGCGAGUUGCACGCCACUAUAAUAAUAAAGUCAGGACUCGGAUGUUGGGACUAGGGGACUGGGUAAUGAAGCAAAUCAUGACCAAGACGGCAGCCCUGGAUUUGAACUAGGAAGGGCCGUACGAGAUAAUUGAAGAGGUCGGCCCAACAACUUUCUUUCUCUGGGAUCAGGAUGGUAUAGUCACCGGGCGACCUUUGAAUACGGAGCACCUGAGAUUCUACCCCGUGUAAAGUGGGAAUGAAACCCACCCUUAAAAUUUUUUACAUUUGCAAGUAUUGAGGCCCCCAGGAGGACAACAAGUCCCGGAGGAUGCCUUCAUUCGUUUUGAAAGACUUAAUACGAGAAUGGAGAAGUUAAAUUCAAAUUCUAACGAUGGUAAUCCACCGGGAGGCAAAAAUCAAUAUAAUCGCAAGUAAUAUCAAACGGGAUGGUAAUCCGCCGGGAGGCAAAAGUCAAUAUAAUCCCAAGUAAUAUGAAACAGGAUGGUAAUCCGCCGGGAGGCAUAAGUCAAUAUAAUCCCAAGUAAUAUCAAACGGGAUGGUAAUCCACCGGGAGGCAAAAGUCAAUAUAAUCCCAAGUAAUAUCAAGCGGGAUGGUAAUCCUCCGGGAGGCAUAAGUCAAUUAAAUCCCUAGUGUCGAACGGGUAAAACCGAGAGGAAAAGUUAUUGAAGUCCCUUGUAACACCGAGUGGGGUAGGCAUAAUACAAAUAUAUAACACAGGAGAAACAAGUAAUAAAAUUAGACAAGGCAUAAUAUAUUAAAACCCGGGAUCCGGGCGAAUACCACCAAUGGGUAUUUACAAAAUUCACCGGGAUGUAUUCUGGCACGAGGUCAUUGUCUUACAAGAAAAACCAAAAAGCAAAAGGGAAAUUACAACUUAUACCUCGCCGGGUUCCUCUUCCUCAUUCCCGUCCGAUUCGGCCAAGUUGUCAUUACCUUCAACGCCCUCCUCAACAACCUUCUCGGACGGCUCGCCUGUCUCAAGCUCUUUCUCGGCCGUUGCCUUAGAUUUAGCCUCUCUCUCCUUGGCCUCUCGAGCAGCGAGCAAGUCGGCUGUCAUCUUGGCCUUUUCCAGGUACCCAAGGCGGCUCUAGACGCCGAACUUCUCGGUGAUGCCACUCUCCCGGGCAGCCUUGAGCAUAGCCUUGAGCUUGUCCGACUCCUUGAAUUUGGCCACAACAAGCUCGCCCUUGGCGGGCAUCUGGCCUUGUAGAUCAGCAAUCUGUUCGUCCCUCUCCUUCAGCUUAGACCGCAGCUUCGCGUUCUACCGUUGAAGCGCGUCUACAUCCCACUCCAAGGCGAGAACUCUUUCAGCUUUUCCCUCCAGCUCUUUGGUAUGGAGGCUCAAUUUGGCGAACUUAUCGGCCAGCGAGAGUUUCUCCUUCCUCUCGGCCUCCAAAUCCUUCUCCAUCUUCUUCUUCUUCGCUCCGAGAUAGCUGAUCUGGUCGUUCAGGCUGGCCAAACGCUGCUUCAUCUCGUUGGUAUCCUUGCUGGCAUCAAUAGCGUAGAUAGCGAAGAGAGCCUGCAAGCAAAACAAAAUUAGUUCAGCAUCUCGGACAGUGAUAAUAAGUUGACAUUACCAAGAAGAAGCUUACCUUCAUCAUUGCCUCCCAGGCGUACUGCAGGUUCUUCCAAGGAGUGCUGGACCCGAUCUUAAUCCGAUCCAACUCGAUACCCUUCAAAUCGCCCACCAUGCUGUGCACGAACUUCUCAUCGGCGCACCCAUACUCAUCCAGUAUCUGCCGGAUGGGGGUCUUUCGGAUCUGGGGAAGAGCAGGAGCGAGAGCACCCAAAGUAACUGGGGGGCCGGCCGAGGAUCCUGCAGCCUUUUGCUUCUUCCGGGGUGGCGAGGCCCCGGACACGCUCAUCCCGCUAAGACUUCGAUUUCUUGGAUGACUGUUUCUUCUUCUAGCCCAAAUUGACGUUGACAACGUCACCGGUCUUCCCGGGCGCCUCCGCAUCAGCAGUUGGUUUCUCGUACCUUUCAUCGUUGACCUCCAGGAGUAUAGCGCCCUCCGAAACACGGGCGGUAGAGUCUGCAACAUUCACGUCGGUACGGGAGGCCACUUUCCCUACCUCCAGUAGGUCGCUCAGCAAGUCCAUGUUAGAGUCCAUGUCACGCGGGUGUGAGGGACGUUGUUUACACUUGGGCACUUUAGCUGAAAAUAAAGCCAACAGUCAAACUCUCGGGUACCAAGAGUAAAAAAGCCAUGGACAAGAGAAAACAGCAACAAGCGAAACUAAUUUGGAACCCCACUAGGCAUACGGCUGAGUUCAUAGUGAACCAAGACAGCCCACCGGGUCAGGUUGUACGAGCUUUGAUCCUCAUCCGAGGGCCAGGCUGCAAAUAAUCGCCCAAUGCGUCGCUUAUCGAUCUCUGACAGCGAGAAUGACUGAUCCCGGAUAUAUCUAAACCGGUUGGGCACAACGUAUGUCGGACAGUUUCUUUGCCAUCGGCCGCCGGCAAGCACGACCUUUGAACGCCAAUUAUUGUUCAUGGACGUUGGGAGGUCAGUGACUGGAGGCAAGUAUUCUCGAGCAACAAAUGAAACACACCCUCGGCAAUUCUGCUUCUUUGAGUACGAGAGGAGAUACAGGGCGCGAAACUCGUUGAUAGUUGGCCAACCCAUCUCGGACAAGUAGUACAGGCAGCAAAGAGACAGCAGCUGGUGCCAUUGGUUUUGGGGAAUUUGCCCGGGAACAAGCUGAAGCAUGCUCAGAUGAUACUGCACGCACUAAGGAAGCGGGAGAGGGAAGCCGUUCCUAAACAUAUGCUCGUGCACAACGACGAAGCCGUCUCUCGGGCAGCACGCCAAUUCGUCCUCGUAUAGCGCGCGGAGGGUAACAGAUGACGGGAUUCCCUAGGCUUCCCGAAAUUGUUCAAUCUCGGCUGAGGUCAUGCUACACUCGGGUUCGUUGUCACAUCCCGACCCUUAAAUUUUUACCUUCUUUACUAGCUUGAUAUUAAUAAGAAUUUUACCGUCUCCGUCAAUGAGUUAUGGUUUAAUUGGUCCCUAGAGGGGUAUUGAGGGACGAUUAUUUCGGAGGAAUUAUUCGUAGGACAAAAAAUGUGACAACGGUAAAAAUGGUAAAUUUUAGCUAGUAAAAGGUAAUUUUUAUUAGGGUGUUAAUUUUUUUGGAAUUGGGUUUUAUUUGGUGGUGUUUGAUACACCCCGAACCUAGUAAUUAAUUUUAUAUUGUGAUUUCCGGUUUAUUGGUAGCUAAUCAAUUCGGAAAUUUAUUCCGGUUAUUUUUGAUAGAGGUGGUUUAUUCGAGUUCAUGGGUUUUUUUAGUUACCCGAGUAGGAGUUCGUAAUUGGAGGAUAGUUAAAAUAAUAAUAGAGUCCAUUUUUGGGCUAGGUUUUUAAGUGGGACUUGUCUUAUUUGAUAGAGAAAGAAAAACAGAAAAGUCAGCCUCUCAUCUCUUUCUCCUCAACCUCUCGAGGCCGUCCGACUCUCCUCAACGGAAAGCCGCUGUCCGGCCACGCAUCGUCGCCGCGCCAGUCUCGUACGACAGCUGGGACACUGCUCGUCCUUCCUAGGGUGGUGGCCGUCCUCCUCUCUCCGGCAGCAGCUCACGGGAGCGCUCUCAAGCCGCCGGUUUUGUGGAGCCGGAACUGUUUUCUCCAGCCACCGAUUCCAACGAUCCUUGGGGGGUUUUGUAGCUCUUCUCUAGACUAUUCAACCAUUUCAAGGUGAUAGAACAAUUCAGGGUGUGUAGAGCAAAUCGGUUUUAGUGUGUCCUUGAGCUUUGGAGGUAUUUUCCGGCCAACUCUUUAGUUUCUGGGUUUAAUACUAGUUAUGUUUGUUGUUGUGCGUAUGGAGAGGAAGAGUUUGGCUUAUGCCUUGUUAAUUUUGGUUGAAGUUGAUUAAGGUGGUGGUGGUUGAUCCCCGCUGCCAGCGGUUGACCGCCGCUGCCAGCAGUUGACCGCCGCUGCCGGUGACUGCUGCCGGUUUUGGUGGUGGUUUUGAGUAAUUUUGGAUGAUUUCUAGAAGGGAUAAAUGUUGUUGUAUUGUAUGGUGAUUUUUGGUGAAGAGUGCUUGGAAAUUGGGAUAGUUUUGAUGGCUCCAUGAGUGAGAGAUGAGUGGUAUUGAAGUAUUGGAAAUUUUGGUGAGUGUUAGUAGGAAUUUAGGAAAGUUUAAGUUGAUUUUGGUGAAAGAGUAGAGGUGAGCCUCAUCCUUGGGAAUUUCCAUAUUUGUGCUUAAGUGUUAGAACGUUGAGGAAAAAUUGGAGAAGGUUAGUAAAAAUGGUUGGAGUUCUCCUUAGUUUUUGGAGAGUGUAGAGUGAGGGUAGAUGACAUUGCCCUAUCUUGUUACUUUGAUAUUCUUGUAUUAUUUUUGUCUCGGACCUUAAAUCUCGUUUUGUACAGGACGAGAGGAGACACCACGUGAGGAGGACUCUGACCGACGUCAGGCUUAGCUGUCUAUACUGUGAGUGGACAUUUUAUUUUUAAAGGAGUAUGCAUGCAUGAUUUGUUUAGAAAAUCAUCACUAAUUUUCUGAGUUGAUUUUAUUAUUUCUUCUAUGAAGGGAUCUUGAAAAUGAUUUGAGUUAUUCUAUUUUAAGCAUGUUAACGUGUGAGACACGUUGAAUUUAAUUAACUAUAUUGCUCUUAGAAUUUUUCCAAGUACGGUUGGGAAUCGUACUUAUAUUUUAUUUAUGAGUUUUGGGGAAACUCAUAUGAUUUAUAUUUUCCUUAUGCCAUAUUCUUGGAAUAUAUAUGAUGUCAAUGCUAGCAUGUCGUUCCACCUUUCGAGGUGAUGUGACACCCACGUUUCAAGUGGGGUCACGCAAGCCCUUUCCACCCUAGUGGUGAUGUGAUGUUGCCGGCGGCAUCACGCAAGCCCUGUGCCCUAUCCGUCAACUCGACGUGAAGGUACAGGGAGUAUGGGAGUACUAUGCCUGGGAGGCAACCGAGUCUGGGAGACUCACUUAUAUGGCCAUAUAGGAUAUUCUAUUUGAGUUGUUAAAUUGACUAGCAGGGCUAGUCCAUUAUUUUUGGAAGUUUUUUUUUAUACGAGAAAUCUAUUUAUUUUUCUUAUUGUUUUACGUACUAGCGGGGCUAGUGGGAAUUUGGUUGAGCUUAUAAUAUCUGCAUGCAAGAAAAUUNNNNNNNNNNNNNNNNNNNNUUUACGACUAGCGGGGCUAGUGGGAAUUUUGGUUGAGCUUAUAAUAUCUGCAUGCAAGAAAAUUCUUGGUUUCCGUAUAAAUGGAAAAGCAUAUAAAAGUUUGAUUUAGUAUCAUUAUGCUCUUGGAUAUUUAUUUAAUUAGUUUGUUUUUCGUCCACUCACGCUAACGUUUUUAAUGCUUUUCCCUGGGCCCUUUGUUUUCAAAUGCCCAGAUUACAGAGCUCCUGUUCGGUUUCACUAGGAGUUGAGGUAUAGUUUUCCCGCUGCACCUUGCUGACCGUAGGUUACCUGUUAACCUAUGUGUAGUGUUAUAUUUCCUUCUUGUAGAGCUCUGAUGACCAUGGGAUUAUGUGUAUUAGGUUAAAGUGUUUACUUUUCACUUAGGUCUAUGACCCACGUAGAGAGAGUUUAAUCUUGGUUGAUGUUCAUGUUUAAGUAAUGCCAUUGAAUACUUGGUUUGGGUUGUUUAAUUACUGCUAUGACUUGGUUUAUGUUGUGGGGAGUGAAGGACUCCAGGAGUGGUGGUUGGUUAUUAUAGUUGAAGUGUUUCAGUUUUUUUUCAGGAUGGGUUGUCCAUUUUUAGGGGAGGUUAUGCCGAAAUUUCGGUAUAAUCUCUUUUAAGAGUGGACCCCGCAAGACUUGCCUAUUUCACUAUGUGUUUUCGGGGCGGGUCUUGUCAGUGUUGGACCGGUUAGGAUUAGAAGCCCAAAACCAUUUCUCUCUCUCCCUUCACUGUUCUCUCCCGACGCUCUCUCUCUCUCUCCCUCACUCUGUCAGAUUUGCUCCGGCUCCAACCGACGCCGUCCGGCCAAGCCAGGCCGCCGCACCGGUCCCGUUUGGACCGCCGCUGCCUCCUCUCCUUGCCUGGGCUGGUGACCGGGCCGGUUACGCCACCGAACAGGGAGGAAACUCCCCUACCAGCCAGUUGCUCCAUUCGCCGGAACUCCCUCCUCCGGCCGCCAUAGCAGGCGAUUCUUGGCUCGUUUGGAAGCUCUGCUCUCGUGCAUCAAUCCCUCCAAAGGCUUCCCUCCCCCUUGGUCUAGGUAAGGAGAUUUUGGUGUUGGAUAUUCUAGGGCUCAUUUGAUGUUUUUGUUCGAUUACCCUAUCUAGGCUUGGAAUUUGUGUUUGUGCUAGUUAAGAAAGUUGUAGAGGGGGUUGAGAGGAAGAUGCUGUUAAAUUUUGGUAGGCAUUGGGGUCGCCGAAGUCAUCUGCCGGCAGAGCAAACGGCGGCGCCGCCAUUGUUAGAGGGAUUUUCAUGGUUUUAAUGUAUAAUAUUAAGAGGAGUUUAAUGAUGUGAAGUGUGGAAUUUUUGGAGGAGUUUUGGAUAGGUUUGGGAUUUUUGAUAGAUUGGUGAAUUUGGCAGUUAAUGAGGUAGAAUCCGACCGUUGGAUUUUCUUUAUUAUUGUUUUAGAAUGUUGAUAUAAAGAAAAUAAGGCUGUGGUUGGAUUUUGGCGUGAAUCCGAUAAGUUUAACCCUAGGAAAGGUAGUGGGUUAGGCGGAAGAGUUUUGGGUUAUAUAUUUAAGUAUUAUUUAUUCUGAAAUUGAAAUGUGGUCCUAAGAAUGGUUUUUGUGCCAGGAUUUGAGGAGACCUCACUUGAGUGGCGAAUUGGAUUUCGUCGGGCUUAUGCCUAAAGUUGUGAGUGGACUUGUUUUAAAUGAUGUGGAUGCAAAUGUUUUAUUGAUGAAUAUCAAUUUGUGGAAUUGUUUAUUUUCGCGAAGUUAUUUUUUGGAAGUAAAUGCUCUUAUUUUAUUUGUUAACUUCGCUAUUUGGAAAGUUACCGAAAAUGAGAUUUUCGGUGGAGUCAUAUAUUUAUUGCUUCUUUUAUAAUUGGCAAUUUUCAUUAUUUUGGAAGUUACCGAAAAUGAGAUUUUCGGUGGAUAUGUAUGUGGAUAUUAUGAGGAUAGUAUGUAUAUAAAAAAAUGCUAGCUAGCUAUACGUGCUUUUCCGUCAUAAUGAGAUAAAAUUCCAUUAUGGCGCGACGUGAGGGUUAGACGCAAUCGUCGUAGCCCUAUAUAAAUAUAAGAAUUUACAUAGGGGAUAUGCGCGUAUAUAAACACCGUCUUUUCCGCCAUAAUGAGGUAAAAUUCCAUUAUGGCGCGCCGUGAGCGUUAGACGCAAGCGUCGUAGUCUUGUGUGAAUUUCUAUCUCUAUUUGUUGUUUCAAGAAAAUUCAUACAAGGAAUAUGACGAGUGUAAAUACAUACAUAUUUAUACAUAUUACUUUAGCCUGAGAGGCUUCAUUUUAUUAAAUUUGGUGACUAGCCGGAGCUAGUCAUGAAAUUGCCAGUUUAUGAGUUGAGCUUUUGAGUUGUCGUAUGCAGCAUAAUUUCUAUGAAAAUUUAAAUUGGGAAAGCAUAAAUAUUUUCAUUAAAUUUAUUUUAUCCACUCACUCUAACGUUUGUAAAUGUUUUCCCCUGGGCCCUUCGUUUUAAAAAUGCCCAGUAUGCAGGUUAGCUUUGUUGAGAUCGGGCGUACAUGGAGAAGAGGCAUAAUCAUUAGUAUAGCUUCCGCUCAUUUUUAUAUUUCUAGUUCUUUUCCUCUCAAAUAUAAUUGCUCUGAACUUGUGAUUGUUGGUUGUGAGUGUUUCUUAUUAAAGUGAGUAAAUAUAUUGGGAGAUGUUGUGAUUUGGGGAGCACGAAGGCUCCAGGAGGAGAGGGUUAUAAAUGGAUUCUUUUGAAGUGUAUGCAGGUAUUUUUAUUAGGAAGAGUUGUCCAUUUUCAAGGGAGGUUAUGCCGAUUUUUCGGUAAACUCUCCUUGGAGGUGGUCCCCGCCGGAUUUACUUCGGGUUUCAGGAUGAAAUUCGGGGUGGGUCCUAACAUUCGUCGCACACGGUGCCGUCCUCCAGUAUGUACCUCCUGGACGAAGAGGAGCCGAUUACACUGGUCAUCGGGACGCCAUAAAAACCCCGGCAGACCAGUCAACUUCCCGGGAGGGUACGGCAUAAUUUGCGUCCUCAGGCCUCGACGUAGGAGGACAGCUCGGGCGGGAUGAUCGACUAAUGUACUCCUCCAUCCUCUCAUCAGCAUCCACUAUCGGCCUAGAGGAUGUGCUAACCCCGCUUAAAUCAGUUGUACUUCGGGAAUCCAUCUACCCUAGUAUGACAAACCCUAAGAUCUAUUAGUAUGCGCUGUCGGGAGCAAGUGCACCAAUUCAAAGUCUAACACAGCCUAAACCCAGAAAAUCCUUAGAACACCAAAAUCCCCAGUUUUACUCGAAACCAUGGAAAAGCAACGCAAACACAGAGAAUGCCAAAAGAGAAACAAAGCAUAAGUGUGACAGAACAAAAGCAACAGAAACUUACCAGAUUUUCGACGUAGUAGCAACGCCAGAAACGCAGACGUCGAAAAACACCUCGCAAUUGCAGGGUUGAGAGAGAGCAGAGAACAGAAAGAGAGAAGUCAGAGAGAAAGCAGAGAACAUAAAGAGAGAAGCAGAGAAAUCAGAGAAAGCAGAGAAACGUAGAGAAACACAGAGCAGAUAAUAGAAUGGAGUGAGAGUGAAGACGAAAAACAAAAGAGGGGAAGAGUUUAUACACGGCCAGCGAGCAGUCGCCUCGAUCCACGAACCGAUGCAUUUAAAAAACCAUUACCUGGCCAUCCGAUCAAACCGUAGGAUGGUGCCACGUAGCUUAACUGCCGUGGCUUCUUGAAGAAGGAAAGAACGAAGCGACGUGCAUUAAAAAUUGCUUGGCAGUUAUCCAGGAAUAUUGCGACAUCUGGCGAGCAUGCAUUUAAUGCCUCUGCCACAGCUAUGCGCAAACUCUCAAGUAUAAGACCAAUCCCGGAUGAACAUCACCGAGAUCGUAAGACCAAAUAUAAGACCAAUCCCGGGUGAACGUCACCGAGAUCGUAAGACCAAUCCCGAGUGAACGUCACCGAGAUCGUAAGACCAAGGAAAGACCCAUCUCGGAUAAGUGUCACCGGGAGGAAGCAUACAACAACUGCUUCUCGAAAUUGUAAGUCCCAGAUAAGUGUUCCCGGGAUGCCGAGGCUGGGCAAUUUAUAUCAUCCCUUUAAAAAAGGAAUAAGUGGCUUGAUAAACCACGGACGGCGUUAACACCCCGUCACUCGAGUAGUGACACCGGAUGAUGAAAGGGCUCGCUACCCUUUGCCUAUGAACAUGUAACACCCGUUCAACCCACGUUCUGAGUCCAGACUUAGGGGGACUAUGGGUGGGACCCGCUUGAAAUAUGCUGGUCUACAGACUUAUUGUAGCAAGUCCCCACUCAAGAUGUGUCUUGAACGAGAACUUGGGAGGACUUGUAGUCUGUUGAGUAUAAAACAACCUCCCAAGCCUGUAAACUAGCGGGAAUUCCACUAUAACCGAGGCCGCCCCGAGGUACCCGCCAAUAAGUAGGGUGGGCCGGGCCCGACCUCGGAGACAGUAUUGGGCUAGGAGUGGUUUCAGAACGCAUAAGGGAGCUGGGUGUGAAGUAGCAGCAAAUGUAGUUGUCCCACAUCAUUUCUCAAGUAAAGAGAACCCACUUUGGGCCAUAAAUAUGAGCUAGCUGAUAGGAGCACAAAGUGUGACGUUCUUAAUAUGUUUAUACCCUUUAUUUACCCUUUGUUAACUCCUAUUUAGUUGUUUUAGCUUUAUAUUUGUGUUUAGUGUAGAAUAAUUGCUUAAUGUAGAAAUAUGUAGGUUUUGGUGUUAGAAUUCAUAGUAAUUUCGGAAUUGAAGAAUUGAGUGUUGAAAUUGUGUUAAGUGUUGGAAAUCCUUGUUUACUCAGGAUUCCUUUCUUGAUCAGGAUUCCAUCUUUCCUCUUUCUGAGUUUCUAAUUUUCUUAUUUCUAUUUCAGGAAAGUCUAAAUCCGUGUUGACUAGGAAAAUGUUUUCCUGACUCAUGAGGGAAAGGUGGCCGGCAGCUAGGAAUUCCUGCUUGAGCUAGGAGAAGUACAAUCCGAGAUAUGUAUGGAGAUGCCGUGAAGAUUUCCCAAGUCACCAAGGAGAGAGAAACCGUGCGGCCCAAGAAAGAAGAUUUUUCCAAGUUCAAGAUGGUUUCGUCAUUCCUUAAUGCAUGAGGAUUACUUGAAGAACAAGAGAAGAAAUUAAAUCCAACUUGGACUUGGUUUUGCCGAUUCAAUAGGAUUCCUUGUGCUUGAGGAAUUCUUGGAGAUCAAGACUUGUUACUCUAUAAAUAGGGCACGGCAUGGCAGCAAUUAUCAUCAUCAACCCGUGCAAAAAACACCAAAGCCUUUGCCGAAACUCCAUCAACCUCCAAACACCAUAAUCUGAUUCCACCAUCAUCCUUGAUCCAAAGCACGUAGCCUAGGAUUCCGCUCACUCGAAGAAUAGAACAAGUAGGGAUAUCCUGAGAGUGUAUUUCAUCUUUUACUUUCGGAUUAGUAUGUGUUUGUUCUUCUUGAUGUUUGUUUUAGGUUUUUGCUUAAGUAUGUUUCGAUUCUUGUCUAUGAGAUAGAAACACUUUUGAACCAUGUUUUGAAUUAAAGUUUUCAAUUUUUAAUCAAUGAUUUUAGGUUUUAUGCCGUGAGUUUUAUGUCUAUAUACUUUAAGAUUUUCGGUGCAUUCUUCCAUUAUCAUGUGUAGUUGAUACAAGUAGUUGAUAAGUUGCAUUGUCUUUGUUAUUUCACCNNNNNNNNNNNNNNNNNNNNGUAAUUUAGGUAUUUAUUUUCAAUGUUUAUUCCAAAAUCAUCAAACUUUAAACCCUAUAUGCUUAUUUCGACAUUUUUAUUAGAUUAGAUGGAUCUACCCUGUAGUUGGAUCCCCGGUUGAGAACGAUCCCUGCUUGCUUUAAACUACGAUUGAUUUGUUGACAGGGUUAAUUGAUGCGUGUGCAAAUACGUCUUAUCACUAGCCACCAGUUUGUCAGGUAUAAUAACUGCCCUCAGUAAUUGCUCUCUACCACAAGAUAUUGACUUAAGCUUCGGAGAAAGAAAGACCGGAAACCCCCGGUCAUCCUUGUUAAUACAGGUCAACAGGAGGACAGCCAACCAUCUGCCAGACACGGCAUCAGCUUCUGCGAACCCAUCCGAGAUCGUACAGAAACACCUCCCAAGUAAAAGCAACUAUACAAACAGCUAACGAACACGAAACUUCAGUAGACUCUCAAGUGUUCAAGUUUUAUCUAGAUCGGAUCAACAAUUUUCUCUUCAGGUGAUGUUUGACUCAAUGAGUUGUGUUUUUACUGUUGUAUAUGCUCGCACUACUGUUGUCGAUUGUGGGUUGAUCUAGAAAAUGUUAAGGAGGGAAGCUUUGUCACAGGGCCUUGGUUAUUUUUGGAGAUUUGGUUAUGUGUUGUUGUUACAUUUUAAUAUUUUAAUUUAUUUUGGGUGUUACUUUCAGUUUUUAUUUUGAAAAAACCGUUUUGACAUUAAUUUGUGUAACUCAUGGUGGUUAUUUGGUUUUAUUUGCUUUUAUUUAUUGUAACCCAUACUAUUGCUACCCUAUUAAUCAUAGGGAGUGUCCUACAAGCCUAUAUAUACACCAUUUUUGCAUGAAGAGAAUUACCAUGUACUACACAACAACUUAUUCACCCAUCAAUUUUCCAUCAAAAAUUCCCCAAAAGAAGUCUUGUGUUUUUUCGGCCAAAGAAAGAUGUUCUUGUGGUGGAGCUUUGGGUUCCUCCGGUUUGUGCCGAUUGGAGUGAGUCAUACAACUUGUUGUUGGGCUGUUGUAUCAUGUAGGGGACAAGUCAAGAGUCUGGUGCACCAAUGUUAUUCCGUAGAGGGCUUGAAUCUCCUUAAAAAUAGCGAGAUACACGCGCCUUAGCCUAUUGUCAACGAGCUUGUGUAAUAUUAAAAUUAUAAUUUUUAUUGUAAUUUCUUGUAAUUUAACUAACAUGUGCUAGAUGAGGAAGACAUGCACAAUACUAUAGAUGUCUACAACUCACACAUAAUCUACUUAAAAUAAACAUUACGCAAGGCUAUUAAGAACAAAACUAAUCUCACGGUCGAGCAUAUUCCUUUAUUUGUGUGCUACAGUGUAUAUGACAAAGGAGAGUGCGUGGACUGGUUGCAGAUUUUCAUGCUACUAGUUGCAUUUUUUCGAUAGUUCAAAAGAAACAACAAAACGACAACAGAAAGCCUCGAGUUACUCCCUCUGCCAGUUGAUCCAAAUAGAACGUUAAAAACACAUAAAGGGGAAUGCAAUGAAACCAUACUAAAACUGUAGAUGAGGUAAAACCUAAAGAUGCUGCAACAAAAUUAGCUUCCAUGUGUACAUGAUGAAAGUAGCAACUUUGCAGCUCAGAAGCUAACCUACUAAGUAAUAUCUUGAACAAUAGGCAUAAUACACCAAAGUUGUCACACCCCGGUCCCAGCGUCGAUGGAUUUUAGGCACCGAACGCCGUUUCCGAGGCGUGAACGAGUGUUACAAAGCGGAAUGUCACUCUAGGCUCGUCGUCUACCAUUUUCCCGGCUCGGUACAACCUAAGUAUUUUUCAGGCAAAAAAAUGUCAGAGAUGGAUAGGUGAGCAUAACCACGCGCUUAGUGAGUAGACCAAUGUAAUAUGCCCACAAAGCCAUGUCAUUUUUACACACGCUACAAAAUACGUAUAUCAUAUACACAUUACUUCACGCAAUUCAUCACAUCGCACAAUCCCUUCUUAUUGGAUACCUUCAAUUUAGUGAUCCCCACGGGAACCUAAUAACAUUCAUGUCAUAUACCUCCGUGUGUCACAUCCUUAUUUCGGCAUAACUAAUCAAGAAGUUCACAUGUUCCAUGACUAGUUAAACAAUAUAUCCAACACAUAAAUAUAUAUAAACUCUGCAUAUUUCGCAAAUUGACAUGCUUCACUUAAAAACAGAGAGAUAUUUCGUAAAUAGAUUAAAAUCAUGUUUUUUGACUAUUUUAAUAAGAAAUAAGAAUAUUUGAAACAUAUUACACAAAUCAACUCACCUCGUCAAUACGAAUCCCCACUAAGAACAUCGAUAGUAAACCAAGCCUCCUAAAAUGAGCCAUCUAGAAUCACCAUUAGAUCUAGCUCAAACCUCUAGAAUAGGAAGAGGACAUCGAUACAAACCCGUAGCCCUUCACGGAUUCAAAAUCGAAGUUACGGAUCAAGAGUUAUGAUCCGCCAAAGUUUUACAACGAAAAUUUAGAGAGAGAAAAUUCUAAAGAAAGCAGGAGAAAAACGGAGGAGAGAAAGAUCUGCUGCAAAAUGAAAUGGAAAGCAGCUGAUUGACUGAUUCUUCUAUAUAGACAAAUAAUGACACGUGUCAACAAAUAAUUGGAUCAUUUGUUGUCACGUGUCAAACAACACACCCUCACUAAACAAUGGACAAGCGGCUGAUGACUCAGGGUUGAUGUUGACGUCAUCGUCAGCUGGUCUCUAUACCAAGUGACACGUGUCACGACGACAACCAAUCAGAAUUUACCAUGUCAAUAAUUCUGACGAACUUCGACGAAACUUUAAAAAAUCGUUAAAAAUAGCUUGGAAGUCUGAAAAAUUCAUCGAAAAAUACGGCGAAGUCGUGGCGACCUCUACUUUCUAUUUCUAUGAAGAAAAAUCAAUUUUGAGAAAUUUCAAAAUUCAAGAUGUUACAAAGGUAUUCGAGUUUUUCCAUUCAGACAUUCAAUCAAUACCUUGGAGUCCCAUUUAAUAAUAAUUCGUGUAAAUUGUUGAAUCCAAGCAAUGUGUAAUCCCUCUCGGAAAGAGCUUCGCGAAAAAAAAACAAAAAAACAAACUUUCUCUAAAAGUCAUAGCCUCCACUAUAAGAAUUGUUUUAUCACUUGUAUGUUUAGAUGCAACUAAUUGAUUACCAUGACUGUCUCUAAAAACAAAACCAACUACAACCCCCUAUUAUAUGAUAUAUAAAAGCAUCAAAAUUAACUUUCACAAAACAAGGAUUAGGAGGAUGUCAUUUGACUAUUAAUGCUACUAGUGGCAUGUCAACUUUUGACUGUGUUCUUUUUAUUUUAGUUUUGUUUUCCUAACUAAUUUUAGAUUUUAAUAAUUAUAUUAAUAAUUAUUGAACUUGUGUAUGUUCUAAGGUCUAGUGGGUGUCCAAAUUACUUUGGAUUUGGACUUUUCCAUGGACCAAGACCCCCUUUGUAGAACCAUGCAAACAAGCUACAACUUACUGGAGUUUUGAGUAUGAGACUCUGGAGAGUUCGAUAGUAUUAUUGAAUCAUCUGGAGUAGUACUAAAAGAUAAUUCAAAUUAUUUUGUGAAACAUGAAGUGGAAAAAAGGAGGGUACACGGGAUAUUACACCGUGUGUGUUACCAAAACGUCUUGUUAUGUCUAUAAAUGGCAGCAAACGGAGCCAUCGUAUAUACUAUGGCCUUAUGCUUAGCAGUUUUUUGGAUUUGUUUCAAAAUUUGUAACCAAACUUAAUUUUGUAGCUAUACUUUUUUUUAGGGGAAAAAUGAGUCAAACUCUGUUAGGUCAAGCUAGGAGAAAGUCCAAAGACCAAACUCCAUAUUACUAUGCGUUGCACAUAUUCAUGCUAGAAGCAUGUCUACAAAACAAAAGAAAAACUACAAACUCUACUAAAAAGCUUAUUGUCUAAAAUUGGACUUAUUUUAGCCUAGAAAGCAAUAACCUAUAUAACCAAACCAAAGUACCACAGCUCAAGGAAUCGAGGUCUAAAACCAUUUCGGUGUACCUUUCCAUCAAAAAUGGGGGUAGCCUCUUCAAUAGGGUUAUGUAGGGAUUUGUCGGCCCAUCUACUAAACUAGGCUCAAGCCCAAACCCAAAUGAAGAGAGAAGAGAAGAAGUGGAGGCCCAAAGGUUCAGCCCACCAGGCAGCGACAUGCAACCCAGCAGACUAAGACCCAGGCCCAAACUAGUUCUUCAUCUCUCCCAUCUAGAUUAGGCCUGAGAUUAGGUCGUCGGAGAAGCCUCCUGCCCUCGAUUCAGUCUAGUGGCUUGGCUGCCUUGAAAUCCAUGAUCCUCGUCGUCGGCCGCCGCUGCUCCAAGCGUUGUUAGAGAGCGCCACUGUUACCCAUGCUCCCAAUCAACCCCGAUCAGAAGAAUAGAUCGGAAAAGCUUCACCUAUGUCAGUCAGAUUCUCCAAGCCCCUGCUGCAUGUACACCACCUCCUCCAAGGACGGUGCUCCCAAAACCUGAAGUCUAAACCCAAUGUCUCAGACGCCGAUGUGAACCAAAAGUUGUCUGCCUCUAUUCGCUGGAACCAAGACUGCCUCACCCAGUCUACGUAUCAGUCUGAGCUCCUCGCCGAGUUGAGAUGCCGUCACAGAGCCCACAAUUAGAGUUCUCCGCCGCCUAACGCCAAAACCCUAGGUUUUGGUAUUCUCGCUCUGCUUUUUGUGGAACGUCUCUCAACAUUAUUUUGUAGAUAUACUUAUCUGCAAAGUUUAUUUAUUUUUUUUAUGAAAGCUUAAUUAGAUUUUUCUCUACUUUUCAAAUUUUUUUUAUCCAAUAAAGUUAAGACUCGAGGAUUUGGGAAUACAAACAGACACUAAAAAAAGGUAAAAUAUUGUAUAGUCCUUGUGGUUUAAAGUCGACAUCUGUUUAGUCCUUAUGGUUUUAUUGUAAUCUGAAUAUAUAGUUCUUAAAGUCACGAUUUUUCAUCCAAAUAGUCCUUAUGGUUUUAUUUUAAACUGAAUAGUCCUUAAAGUCAUGAUUUUUAUCCAAAUAGUCCUUAUGGCCUUUAACUGAGAAAAUNNNNNNNNNNNNNNNNNNNNAUGAAAAAUUGUGACUUUAAGGACUAUUCAGAUUAAAAUAAAACCACAAGGACUAAACAGAUGUCGACUUCAAACUACAAGGGCUAAACAAAUUUCAAUUCAAAAAAAAAAACAGAGACGGGAGAACCCUAGAGACAGCUCUUCCACGAGAGAACCACGCCUAGUCCGGCGGCACGCCCUUACGACGUCGUCGUCAGACGGGGCCGCAAAGGACCUCAUGUCCGGAGAGGAUGAUCCUACGGAGCAAGAGUGGUGGGGGCUAUGACUUUGUCUUGAUCGGUAGCAGGUUUCAAAGGAGAGAGAUGGUGGAUUCGAAUCAGGGUCGAUGUAUCUGAGAUUGGAGCGCAGACAUGCGGAGUCGGCGUUGUGUGGUCGGAGCCCACCUGGUGAUGAUGAGUUGAUGGCAGAAGCACCGAUAUCGGAUCUUAAUGGUCUGGUUUUGAAUUCGCGGAUGUGCAAUCAAUCUUGGAAACGAUGACUUCAGCAGGCUUGGAGGUCGGAGAUCGAAAGUGAUCUCUGGGCGACGGGUUGGCAGCGGUGGAUGGGGUGUGCGGAUCGAAGGGUUACAGUUUCGACGGGAUGGAGGCGACAUGCCUUGGCAUCUUUGGGCUCUGUUGUGGGUCUGGUGGAGUUUUGGGCUUUUUACUUGUCAUUGGGCCCUUUCUAUGUUACUUUCCUUAGUCUUUCUAGUCUUCUAAACCCAUCUUUUAGGACCACUAGGGUUUUAAAUUAGUUUUUACUAGUUAAUUUCCAACAAGUCUUUAUGUAGGUUUUUAGGAAUCUAGGUAGGUUUUGAUGCCUACAGAUUAUAAUAUUUCUUUUACAUCUAGAUAAUGACCACUUCCUAUCAUACCCAAUGGUCUAAAAGGCGCUAGGCGCUAGGGGGCGGCGACCCAUAGCCUAGUGCCUAGACAGCCUAGGCGGGGACUAGGCGAUUUCCUUUUUUUACAUUUAAUUAGUAUAUAUAUAUAUAUAUAUAUAUAUAUAUUAUUUGAAAUUAGUAAAAUAUGAAUAAAAAAAAUGGCAUGACCUUUCUCCAAAAGUGAGCAACCCAACCUGUAAAUUUACAAACAAAUAUGAUUUCUAAUUCAAAGCACCAUCAACUCUUGAAUUCACAUCAUAAUCACCACACAACAACUUCAAAAUAGCAUAUACUUUCCCACAUAACUUGCACUUCACUUUGUCUAAAUUUGAAGGGUUCACCAAUGCCCCAUAUUCCCAUCCAACAUCUUCGGAAUUACGCUUCAAAGACACAUCUAUCUCUGACAUUGCAUUUGACCCUCCGGAAGAUGUAGUACGACUACUACCAGCCAUUUUCUAGCAAAAAACAAGCCAUUAUAUAGUGAUACACUCAUACACAUACGCAUUGCUAUCCUUAAUUAGUUCCUUAAGGACCUUAACAGAUUAACAAUACCACUGCAAACUUCACAGAUUUAUACAUAUAAUAUAUUGAAUACUCAUGUAUUCCCUGCAAACUUCAUGGGAUCAGUCCAUCCCCUCAGUUAAUGCAUGAUCCUCAAAACUGCCAUUAGNNNNNNNNNNNNNNNNNNNNNNNNNNNNNNNNNNNNNNNNNNNNNNNNNNNNNNNNNNNNNNNNNNNNNNNNNNNNNNNNNNNNNNNNNNNNNNNNNNNNNNNNNNNNNNNNNNNNNNNNNNNNNNNNNNNNNNNNNNNNNNNNNNNNNNNNNNNNNNNNNNNNNNNNNNNNNNNNNNNNNNNNNNNNNNNNNNNNNNNNNNNNNNNNNNNNNNNNNNNNNNNNNNNNNNNNNNNNNNNNNNNNNNNNNNNNNNNNNNNNNNNNNNNNNNNNNNNNNNNNNNNNNNNNNNNNNNNNNNNNNNNNNNNNNNNNNNNNNCAAAGAACUAGGAAGUGGGAACUUGGGAAGUAUAUUCAUACCAGAAAUCCAGAAUAUAACUGGGAAGUGGGAACUGCGCACCGCCAAGUCGCCAACAGAUUGAGAAGUAUAUUCACUUCUCUGAGUUCUCUCCCAAUAAGUCCCAACUAAUUGCUGCCUUGUCUUCUUAGCUGUAUAACAGAUUAACAAUAUAAGGAGGAGAAUCAAAACCCAACAAGGCAACAAGCCAACAACACAAGCAGCCAGCCAAAAACAUAAGAAUAUUGUUUUCAUAGAAGCAGUAGAAGCAGAGAUUUAAAACAGAGAUUUGAAGAAAUACCUGUCAAGACGGAACAAGAAAGAGAGAGAGAGUCGACGACGAGCGGAGAAGGUCACUGACCGGUAGAGAACGACGAGGUCGCUCAAUUUGGGAGAGGCGAAUCGGCAAGGUUGAUCAGUUUGGGAGAGGGGAAACAACAAGGUCGGGUAGUUUAGGAGAAUGAGAAACCAAUUUGGGAAUUAGGUUAAGUAAGCCCGCUGUUUUUAUUGGGUUUUUUUUUUGGAAGCGCCUUCGACGUCUAGUCCCGCCUUGACCAAGACCGCCUUAGACUCGCCUGCAACGCCUCGACGGCGCCUUGACCGCCUAGGCGGUCCCUAGGCGGCUGGCCGCCUAACCUGAACGCCUAGGGGAUAAUCUGGGCGGUUGAGCUCCGCCUACAGCCUAGGCGGCUGGCCGCCUAACUUGAACGCCUAGGGGAAAAUCUGGGCGGUUGAGCUCCGCCUACAGCCUAGGCGGCGCCUUUUAGAACCCUAAUCGUACAGCAAUUGAACGUCUUGACGACGGAAGUUUUCAUGUAAAAUUAUAUCUAUGUAGGGCUAGAUUAUAGCUUGUUAGGCUCAUCAUUGAUGAGCGACAAUGUACAAUAUAAUGGUAUGUGAAUCACCUUAAUUCGUUGAGAUCUGUAACGGUGUCAUUUUUGCUGCGACUAUUAAUACAAUGGGUUAUAUGCCCGCUUUUACGUAAAAAAAGAGAGAAUACAAGUGAACAAUCCUGAAUCAUAAAAUCAUCACGAGUAUGGUAUCAAGUUCUGAAUGAUCAUAACAGUACAAACACGUGUAUCAUAUUUAUUUUGGUCUGUGUGACAUGAUUUAUUUUUCUUGUUUGGAUUGGAUCGGAGUGGUUGACAUAACUAAUCGAUUCACACACAAAAAAAAAAUUAAAAAAAUAGUACAUACGCGCCUAAACGGGGUGAUUACUCCCUUUUUAAAAUUUGUAGUUUGGACUUUGGACUUUGGACGAUUCUGUAACGUCAGGAAAUUAUUCAAAGGAUAAGAAGGAGGUGGCCAUACCCAAAUCUGUGGUGAUUCUCAUGUCGUCCCCACUUUGAUCAUACAGCAACCAAAAUGAAAUGAAAUAAUUUACUUAUUCACGCACACCCUACACGCACAAAUUUUUUUAUUCAAACUUCUCAUUUCUUUUAUUAAUAGAACUAAGAUAUUAAGCAAAUAUAUUAAUACUAAACAAAAUUACAUGCAUGCUAUUAAUAUACUAGUUAAACAGAAAAAUUAGAAAGAAUUGCCUCAUAGUUUUUUCUCGACGAGAGAGUCGUCAUAUAGUUCUCUCUCAAAACCUUAGAAAGAGCCAUUUGAUAAUUUUCUCUCGAAAUAUUCAACUAUAUUAAUACUAAGCAAAAUUACACGUAACAGCCUGCCAUAUAAGGUUGCCACAAAUUACGCACGCACAUUCAGUAACUUACCUACACUAAACCUGAGAGAUAAUAAAUAAAGAUGGGUUGUAGAUUAGUCUUGUCGUCGUUUCUUCAAGUCUGAUUGGGCAUUUCAAGUUUUCAACCCAUGUAGUGAAGAUUGCAGCACAAGCUUCCUCGACCUCCAUCAUAUAUAUAUAGGCAAGGAUAAUCUCCUCUUCACUUGCUUAACCUCCUCGACGAGGUGCAACAACAAUAACCUUCUCAACCUCCACCAUUGUCUCACCUUCAACAAUAACCUUCUCUGUCACCCGUCACCAUCAUGGUAGGCCAUUAUCCUACCAUCGAAAGUUGAAAGGGAAAAUAUUUGAAUGAUACUUCGCCAACACAAACAAAAUGAAUGAUCAUUUGGGUACCGAAUUAGAUUAAAUGAAUCAAAUGAACAAAAUCUGUCCAAACAGAACCGUUAGUGUAAAUCAUAAUUACUGAAGCUCAAAUGAUCUCCAAAUUAGAUGAAAUUUUGCAUGAAUGAUCUACACACUAUGUACUAGACACUUAACGGUAGAGAUGUGAAAAUGUAACCUAAAAGUGAGCGAAAUGAGGAGUACNNNNNNNNNNNNNNNNNNNNGAUCCUUUUUUUUGUUUUAUUUCUGGGGAUAGGGUAUUUGACAAACUUCCCGAUCACAAAAUCACAUCUCCAACGUUCAGUUUGUAGGUGUAUAUGAGUAGAUCACUUAUGCAAAUUUUUAGAAAAUUUGGUGAUCGUUAAGUCAUCCAAAUGUUUGAUUUAUUUUUAAUAAUCUUGAACGGUGUAGGUUUGACAUAAGUGUUAAGAUUUUUGUUUUAAUCCCAGCCAUCAAAGCCCAUUAAAAAACAGAUCUAAUGGUGUGGGCCUAUCCCUAAAAGUAACAAAAAAUAUCCCUCAUUGGAAUGGCCCUGUAUAUAUAUACGGGGAUUAUUAGGUGCGGACGUCCGGACGGGUUUUCCGUCCGGAUUUCAGCCGUUUCUCCACCAUUCCAGUGCCGGCGACGCCGUUUCUUCUCCCCAGCGUGAUCUCAGACCUCCCCCAACAGUGUUAGAAUGAAGAAGAAGGCCAGAGAGAUCGGGAUCGGAGGUCCACCAUGAUCGGUUGUGAAGUUCUGAGUGAGAUUGCUGCACAGACCUCCGAUCACGAUCUCUCUGGCCUUCUUCUUCAUUCCAACACCGUCGGGGGAGGUCUGGGAUCACGCCGGGGAAAAGAAACAGUGUCGCCGGCGCUGGAAUUGUGGAGAAACAGCUGAAAUCCGAAUGGAAAACCCGUCCGGACGUCCGUAUCUAAAAACGACUGUAUAUAUAUAUAGCCCAGAUCAAGAGCGGACGUCCGCACUGGGCUUAAAGUGCGGACGUCGCCAAUUUCUCCACCUUCAGGGCGUCGACAGCAGCGCUUCUCUUGCUGGACGGAUAGCAGACCUUGAUACUGAGCUUCCUCUUGCCAGUGGACUCGCCGGCUACAAGUUUGCAGCCAACCUUGAUCGGAUAGCCCAAGUUGCGGCACAGAGCUCCGAUCCCGAUCCCGAUGACCUUCUUCUUCAUGUCAACGUUGUCCCAAAGGCCUCUGGUGUUGAUCCGGCAAGAGAAGCGCCACCGUCGAUGCCCCUGAAGGUGGAGAAAUCGGCAACGUCCACACUCGAACGGGCCUAUAUAUAUAUAAACUUUUUGAAGCGGACGUCCGCACUUUAAGCACCGGACGGCUCCGACGAUGGCGCGCCUCCACCGGAGCAGACACCGGCGGCAUCCCCGAUCACUUUCCCUUACCAGCGAGAUCGAUUUGAAGGUCUGGGCAACAACCUCCACCCAAAACUUCAGACAAGAUCGAUCUCGGCUGCAAACUGGUAUUCGGGGAACUCGCCAGCAAAGGAAAAUGAUCAAGGAUGCCGCUGGUGUCCGCUCGGGUCCGCUUUGGUGGAGGCUCGCCGUCGUCGGAGCCAUCCGGUGGAAAACGGAGGGACGUCCGCACUUUCAGCUAGUGCGGACGUCCGCUUCAGAUCGGGCUUAUAUAUAUGUAGAUUUUCUUAGGUGCGGAUGUCCACAUUUAUUCUUACGGUGCAAAGUUCCACUUUACACUCACUUUUCAAUCGAAUUUUCACAUCUCCACAGUCUAAUCUUUAGAUACUAAUGUAUAGAUCAUCUCUGCAAAAUUUCGGCCAAUUUGGUUAUCAUUAAGGCACUCAAACUCGAUUAAACCAAUGAAUGAACAUAAUUCUGUCGAACUUGAAUCGUUCAUGUUUAUAACAAAAAAACACAGUUUUGAGUGUCUUAAUGAUAACCAAAUUAUCUGAAAUUUUGCAAAGAUGAUCUAUACAUUAGUAUCUAAAUACUACACGGUGGAGAUGUGAAAAUUCGAUUGAAAAGUGAGUGUAAAGUGGAAAUCUGCACCGUAAGAAUAAAUGUGGACGUCCACAGCUGAGAAGCUCUGUAUAUAUGUAUGCUAGUGUUAUUAUUAACACACCCCAUUUAUUUUUCUAUCCGCACAUUUCACUUUUAUUUACAAACUUGUCAUUUAAAUUUGUUUUAUGAUUGAUUCUCAUUAUAGAUGAGGUGUGUUAAUAGAUUAGUUAUAAUAUAGGGAAAAUUGUCCAAAUAGUGUCUCACCUUUCACAUAAGCUAAGUUUUGGUAUCCCAACUUUAGAAAACUUUAAAACAGUAUCUCACGUUUAUACCCCAACCUAAGUUUGGUGUCUAGAACCGUUACCUCAGUUAAGAAUAACUGACGUCAGUCAUAUUUGAUCAUAAAAUGACCAAAUUACCCUUUAACCUUUUAUUUUUCAUUACUUUUUUAAUAUAAUAAAAUAACUGAAGAAAAAGCUAUUAAUUUAGAACUAGUCUUUACAGACCAACAAAUUAAAAAAAAAUUGGUCUUUAGUUUGUGAUAGACAACUCCUCUCCUCUCUUCUCUACCUAGACACACACACUGAGAGCCGGAGAGGAGAUCUACGAUGAAUACGAUCUCUUCUCCUUCCAUUUCCACAGGUGAAACAAACAUAGGGAUGUCUUUCACCAGGCUUUCUGCCAUCUCUUUGCCUACACAGAUAUGCGUAUACAAACAUGGUGGGUCGACGCGAUGCCAAUGAUAAGACCACCAUUCUCUACAAACUCAAGCUCAAGCUCGGCGAGUUCGUAUAUCUAGAGCAAUGAUAGAUCACCCAAAAAAGCACUAUCUAUUCCGCCUCGCCAUGGCCCCUCUUCUUUAAAACUCACUAUCCAUUCCUUCUUUUACCCCGACUGAUUGAGUAGCAGCCUAUGGCACAAUUUAACCCAGACAUGUGAUUCAUGGAUCACUUCUUACAAUGACAAAUUGAAACAGGGGUAUCAACAUUCAAGGUCACAGUAAAACUCCUAGUCUCCUACCUUGAAAAACAUAGUUCAUAUAAAAAUAUUUACAACCUAGAACCCCAAGUUGGUAAAUUUGGCACUCUUUAGUCAAAGCCCCAAUUCCAUAAUGCAAACAGAGGAAGAACACGAAAUAAUAAGAAGGUAUAUCAAGUCAAAAAUCAAAGUAUAAUAAACACAAGUACCUCAAUAUCUCUAUUAGUAAUAACACCAUGAUCCAAGUUAGUUACAUAAAGAUUGGUGCUUCCCUCAACCCUUGGGCUCCAAACCACAGUGGCUCAAUACAUCCAAAUUACGUCUUCGACGUUGACGACGCCAUGACCAAGUUGUCGCCCUUGAACCUGAUCAACCGAACCCCCGAGGCUGGGAAAGGAGUGCGGCACUCGAGACGGGCGGGUUGUGGCAGUUGUCGGAGUUAGGUCUGGGAAUUGAAUUUGGAGUUGGUGAAAUCCAGUGGAUAGAAUAGGGGAGAGAGAUAAGGUAGGAAAAGAGAAAAGAGAAAAGAAAAAAGAAAAAAAAAGGUUAAAAUAUUUGUCCAGAAAAAAUGUUAAAAUACAAAAAGACCAAACUAUCCUUCAGUUGUUAGUCAUUUUAACGGAGGUAACAAUUCUAGACACCAAACUUGGGUCGAGAUUAAAACGUAAGAUACUGUUGUGAAAUUUUCUAAAGUUAGGAUACCAAAAUUUAGCUUCUCAUAAAGGUGUGAUACUAUUUAGAUCAUUUUUUCUAUAUAAUAUAUAUAGUAUACAGUGAACUUCAUGUGAAGCAGACUAACAGCUAACGAAAACUACGUAACUCCAUCUUAAAAAAUUGAGGUCUGAAAAUCAAGUUUUUUAUUUUUUAUUUUUUAUCAGAAGAAAUAACUAGCCGACACAUUUUCUGAACGAGCUGGAUAAUAUCUAGAUAUGUGUCGUUGUUUACAGGACCAUGUCAUUGCUUAAAAAAAAUAAAAAAUCGAAAUCCACUCUGUCACUUAUUUUGAUAUAUAGAUAUAUAUAUAGAUGGAGCUCGAGGUCUGAACUGAACUCUAUAAAUAGGCUUGAUUGUAUCAGUUACGUGAAAACGCAGCAGUAUUCAACAUUAUAUAUGGCGUUUGGAGGUUCUGUGUUCUUUUCGUUGCUGCUAGCUUUGGCUGCGGCUGCUAGCUUCUCCUUUGGCACUGCCCGUGCUUACUAUAUCCCUUUUAACCGAAGCAGUUUUCCGAGUGAUUUCCUUUUUGGUGUUGGUUCAGCUGCUUAUCAGGUAUCCCUCCCUUUAUUAUAUAUCUACGUACGUACGUACGUAUGCGUGUUAAUUCGUAUCCGUAUAUAUGCAAAGUGUAGCUACUGAUUGAUGGUAUAUAUGCUCUUUUAAUUGUUGUUUCUUCAAUCCGUUAUCGAUGCAUCUCAGUCAGAAGGAGCAGCAUUAGUCGACGGAAGGGGACCUAGCAUCUGGGAUACUUUUGUUAGAAAGCAUCCAGGUCUCUCUCUCUCUCNNNNNNNNNNNNNNNNNNNNCUCUCUCUCUCUCUCUCUCUCUCUCUCUCUCUCUCUCUCUCUCUCUCUCUCUCUCUCUCUCUCUCUCUCUCUCUCUCUCUCUCUCUCUCUCUCUCUCUCUCUCUCAUAUGCAUGUUUCCCUGAGCUACGUAUUCAUGUAUUAAAGAGGGAACGAGCAAGAGGCCACAUGCUCUACGUGCUAUAUAUGCUCGCAAAUCGACUUAAACUGGUUUUUGCUUUUGAUUCAGGACUUUAUCUGCUUGGUCACCAGGGAAAAAAAAAAUCACUAAGACACUGCAUGCCUAAGAGCUUAGCACUAGUUGUGAUUACUUGUAUAAUUUUAACGAAAGUGAGAGUUUGUCCAAUUAAUAUUAUCACAUUUGCUAGAUGAUAUAGGACCGAUAUCUAUGUAAACAUAUGAAAAAGCAAUUACAAAUAAAGUCAUAAUCCAUUGAGUAAUAGAUUGUAAUGUACUAUUAUAAUAUUCAAUUUUUUAUGUAUUGCGCUACAGUAAAGUGACGUUUAUUGUGAAAGUGUUAUUGCGUGAUGACAGAAAAGAUAUGGGAUCACAGCACCGGAGAUGUAGCAAAUGACUUUUACCAUCGUUAUAAGGUAAAUUUAAAUGACUUUCUCAUUACUUAAUAAUCAAGCACACUGAAAUAAGUUCUACUUAUAUAUAAUCAACAAAGCCAUCGCUAUCCUUUGAAGAAGAAAAAUUAAUUGGAUGGCAAUGUAUUAUAUAUGCUCAAAAAUUAAGUACGCGGUUGUUAUGGGAAUGUGAUCAUCUGUUAAUACCUCCUAAUAUUGCUUCAUAUAUGAGAGAUAUGGGUCAUCCAACCUUGAUCAUACGGACAAAAAUUUAAAUGUCGUGUAGCCGUGUGAGGUGGGACCCACCCAAAUGGAAGAGAUUCUGGCCGUAAGAUUAAGAUUAAAUGAUUGAUAUUAGGGAUCUCAUCGGACAAUAUUAAGAGAGGAUCUUGAUCCAUUUGUUUCGAUGACUGAUGCACGAACUGAUAUGACAGGAAGAUAUCAAAUUGAUGAAGAAAAUUGGGUUGGACACCUUCAGAUUCUCAAUCUCAUGGUCCAGAUUACUUCCAAGUAAGAACUAAUUAAGAUGAUAAUGUUGUGUAACCCAUCUUAAUCAUAGAAACAACUAAAUAUACGUCAAAAAUGGUUAAUAAUUACUUGGCAUGUUCUGAUGUUCAUGGCAACUACAAAAUUAUAUACAUAUUGACAUGUUCAACUCUUGUGCUUCUCGAUCGAUCAGAGGGAAAACUCAGCGGAGGAGUCAACCCACUCGGUGUCAAAUUUUACAACAAUCUCAUCAAUGAGCUCGUAUCAAACGGUGAACAUCUCAAUUCUGCUCUCAAUUUUCUGGCUCUAUCACAUUUUCCUAUGAAUGAAAUUGCUUUCUCUAUGAAUGAAAUUGCUUUCUCUAUCACAUUUCUCUUGACUAAUAAACUGUUGAGAAUUUGGCAAGUUUCAUAGUCGACGAUCAUUCCUAAUUUUCCUAUAUAUUAAUUUGAUGUGAGAAUUGAAGGUAUCAAGCCCUUUGUGACUUUACUCCAUUAUGAUCCUCCCCAAGCACUUGAUGAACUGUAUGGCGGGCUCUUAAGCCGAAACAUAAUGUAAGACAACGUGUAUCAGUUAGACGGAUCGGACUACCCACAUAUAUAUGUAAUUGAUCAUUAUAACUAGUGGUAACGUGAUCAUUUCGGCACUUGAUGUUUAACAGAAACGAUUACGGAGAUUAUGUGGACUUUUGUUUCAAGACUUUUGGUGAUCGAGUAAAGCACUGGGUCACGAUGAACGAACCUAACGGAUUUGCUAUUAAUGGCUACAACGGCGGUACCUUUGCGCCGGGGCGGUGUUCUAACUAUGAGGGUAACUGCACUUCCGGUAACUCAGCGACUGAACCCUACAUUGCGGCACACCAUUUGCUUCUUGCUCAUUCAGCUGCUGUCAAGAUAUACAAGGACAAAUAUCAAGUACUGUAACCCUAGCUGCAUUCGUUAUAUAUUUGAAUAUUACGAUGAAUACGUGAAUAUAGAUAUAUAACUUGAAUUAACGAACUAAUGUGAAUAUAUGUAAGCAGGCUACCCAAAAGGGACAGAUCGGGAUUACCAUAGUGACUCACUGGUGGAAACCUAAGUUCCCAGAACAGCUGGCUAGCCGAAGAGCCACUCUUAGAUCACUCGACUUUAUGUUUGGAUGGUGAGGCUAGCUGCUUAAAUAUUAAGACGUAAUUCUUCUGUAAAACUUCAUGUGUUGAUUUUGUAUGAAUUUUCAAUAUCUUGUAGGUUUGCCAAUCCUAUAUUUCAUGGGGAUUAUCCGGCGGUCAUGAAAUCUUUGGUCGGGGAUCGAUUGCCGAAAUUUACAGAAGCUGAGUCGAAGCAGAUAAAAGGCUCCCUCGAUUUUCUUGGGUUGAAUUACUACACAGCAUAUUACACAGUUGAUGAACCAGCUUUAUCCAACGCUGUCAACCAUAGUUGGAGUGCAGACAGACAAGUCGGUGCUUCUACUAGUAUGCAUCCAUCAAUCAUUAAUCCCCACACGUACCAUAUAUAAUAACUAAGUUCAACUGCUAUUCGAUUCUAACACAUCUAAAUCUAUUUUGUUGUCACAGCUGAUAAAAAUGGGGCUCUUAUUGGUGCAGCGGUAUGUACUAAUUCAUUCUCUCUAGCUCUAUGGUAUACGUUCAAGUUAUUCAUUUAGAUACUGAUGUUUACAAUUAUGUGGUAAACAUGCAGACUGAUCUGGAUUGGCUUUUCGUUUAUCCGAAAGGGAUCAGAGAGGUUCUUUUGUAUAUAAAGGAGAAGUACAAUAACCCAAACAUUUAUAUUACUGAGAAUGGUAAAACGAUCGAUUCUCUUAUAUAUAACCAUAUAUUACAUGAUUAAUUUUAGUAUUUUAUGCAUGCUAAGAUUGUAUAUAAUUUUGCAGGAUAUGCAUACGGAUAUAAUGCCUCAACACCAAUUCAAGAAGCUCGUAAGGAUAAUUUGAGGAUAAGAUACCAUCACGACCAUUUGUGGUAUCUUUUGAAGGCUAUUAAGUGAGUCACACUCGUUCAUGUAGUGCAUGGUUUUUGGUAUAAUUUAUAAUUAGAGAUUGAGUUAAUAAUUAUUCGAUUAAUUGUUAUUGAUUGAAUAUUUCAGGGAUGGGGUAAAAGUGAAGGGAUACUACGCAUGGUCAUUUUGGGAUGACUUCGAAUGGGAUGCUGGUUACACAGUUGGGUUUGGCCUAACAUUAGUUGAUGUCAAGGAUAAUCUGAAAAGAUACCUCAAGUAUUCUGCCUAUUGGUACAAGAUGUUCCUCCUGCACUGAUAUGCUGGCUUAUGGAUUGAUCCAUCACCUAGCCUGCGGAUCAUACCUCUCUAUCUACUCCAAAUAAAUUGAGCAAUAAUUUCCCAAUAAUUUCCUUAUGUAUGUCAUCUACCUAGCUAUAUGUAUGUAUCUUCAGCUAGCUCUCAUCAAUAAGAACUAUUGGUCCGCUUUAAUUGUGUUUUUCUGGUAGAGAGUUUCAAUUUAUGCACAUACUUAAGUGGGAACUACCAUAUAGUUAAAUUAUCAAUUCAAAUAGCUAGUUUUGUUUACUGUAUCAUUAUGUAAGUAAUGAAAUUAUAUACAUACUGAAGAAACGACAAACCAGCAACCAUCAAGUUUCGUGACAGGAACCAGAUCCGGAUCUGGAGCUCGAGAAGCCGCGAUCUUGCAUUCACGGCGUUGGCCAAAACCUUCGAUCCGCCAACUCCAGUUCGACCAUCGACCCUCUGCCGCGCAAGACCUCCUUUGCUCCACCCCCAUCUAUCCUCCCGCCGCGCCUUCGCCUCCGAUGCAGCAGCCGAAAAAUCGCUUCGGUUGAGAACCCGAUCUGCUCAAAACCCAUAAUCGAGCCACAAACAUAACCCAUGAAUCGUCUUCCCGUCCGGCCGCCCUCCACGUGCAUCGGCUCGGCCAUCGACCGCUACCGGUGCCGCGGCGCAACCGGACGAGAUAAAGAGGAGAAGGUGUUUUCAGAAAGUUUUAGAGAGGCGCGCGUGUGAGGCGCGUUCUAGAUCCCCUAUCCUCAUCCUUUGAUAAAGCUGACUCGAAAGAGAUGUUACGACUGAAAAAUAAACUACUUUUUAUGAAAAUUGAAUUCGACUUUUUUCUUUUUUUCUUUUUCCAGAUUUCUUUAUCCAAUAAAGUUCAGACUUGAGAGACUUUUCACAUGUAUAAUCAUUUUGAAUUCGGAUUUGGGAAUACAAGUGAAAAAACCUGAAUCAUAAAAUCAUCACGAGUAUGCUAUCAAGCUCUGAAUGAUCAUGACAGUACAAACACGUGUAUCAUAUUUAUUUUGGUCUGUGUGACAUGAUUUAUUUUUCUUGUUUGGAUUGGAUCGGAGUGGCUGAUAUUCUAAUGACAUGACAUAACUAAUCGAUUACCAAAAAAAAAAAAAAAGUGCAUGCGAGCCUAAACGGGGUGAUUAUUAUUCAAAGGAUAAGAAGGAGGUGGCCAUACCCAAAUCUGUGUGUGAUUCUCAUGUCGUCCCCACUUUGAUCAUACAGCUACCAAAAUGAAAUGAAAAUAAUUUACUUAUUCACGCACACCCUACACGCACAAAUUUUUUAUUCAAACUUCCCAUUUCUUUUAUUAAUGAACUAAGAUAUUAAGCAAAUAUAUUAAUACUAAACAAAAUUACACGUAAUUAAUUGUAACAUCCUGACGUUAAACUUAUUUGAAUAAGUAAAUAAGCUAAUUCCCAAAUACCAUCAUAGUUGCAAAACAGAUCAGCAAUCCAAAUCAAAGAAAUCAAUGAUAAGUCAUUCAACUCAAUCUCAAAAUCGAUUACAACUAUUGAACAAUUCUCAUAAUCCAGUAUCCCAAUCGUUACUCAAGAUCUUACCGUAGGUAGUGUUAAUUUUACUUUCACAACUCUAGCCACAGCCAUAAUCAAAGCCGAUUUCUAAUCCCCUCCAACUCAUGGAUGGUCGGAACAAGUCAAUUCCAAUGGUAAGCCACGAACCAUGCAUCAACAUCCCUCCAUCACAGGGCUUGUCAGCACCGUUGGGAUGAAGUGAAUGGACGACGAACCGUUGUAAGACGAUGGUUUUAGGAAAGAAUCCUGGCUGGGCCUAUAUAAUACCCUUGAUUAUAAAAUAUAAGAAAUAAUCUUUUUAUUUGGGCUGGUAUGUCCUUAUACAUAUGCACAUGUACGUGUAUAUAUAUAAUCUAUGUUGUAAUACUCCAAUAAUUUGGUAAUUCAAUUUACUUUGGUAAAUGUACACAUGGGGCUUACUAAAGUCGUAUCAAGAUGGGGUUAGUUAAGAUCUAAGUUUUAGUGGCCUGGUAAUUGCUCGGGAGUAUUUAUUUUUAGAUACUUAUGUUUACUAAGAUUUAUGUAUAAUGUGUAUAUGUAUAUACAUUGCCUCAAAGUUAAUACAACUUGAUAAUAAAAUAAAAUAAGAAUAAAGAAAGAAAGAUCAAGAGGGAUGGGAAAGAUAAAAAAAUAAAAGAAGAGGAGAGGAGAAGUCGAGAGACUUCAGGAAGGAAGAAAAAAAGAGAACCUGGGAGAACAAACAAAAGGAAAGGAAAGAAAGAAGAGGGGAAGCUUCUAGGGGGCUCUCACCCUCUCUAGAACUCUGACGGUCUCUCUCUCUAUCUCUGGGGGCUUUUCUCCGAUUUUGUUUUUUUUUGGGCUGAGAGGAGGGGAAAAAGACCUGGAGGAGGACAAUCUAGUGGGAGGAAGGCCCAGCCAGGAUUCUUUCCCAAAACCAUCGUCUUACAACGAUUCGUCGUCCAUUCACUUCAUCCCAACGGUGCUGACAAGUCCUGUGGUGGAGGGAUGUUGAUGCAUGGUUCGUGGCUUACCGCUGGAAUUGACUUGUUCCGACCAUCCAUGAGUUGGAGGGGAUUAGAAAUCGGCUUUGAUUAUGGCUGUGGCUAGAGUUGUGAAAGGUAAAAUUAACACUACUUACGGUAAGAUCUUGAGUAACGAUUGGGAUACUGGAUUAUGAGAAUUGUUCAAUAGUUGUAAUCGAUUUUGAGAUUGAGUUGAAUGACUUAUCAUUGAUUUCUUUGAUUUGGAUUGCUGAUUUGUUUUGCAACUGUGAUGGUAUUUGGGAAUUAGCUUAUUUACUUAUUCAAAUAAGUUUAAGGUCAGGGUGUUACAUUAAUAUACUAGAUAAAUAGAAAAAUUAGAAAGAAUCGCCUGAUAGUUCUUUCUUGAUGAGAGAGUCGUCAAAUAGUUCUCUCUCAAAACCUUAGAGAGAGUCGUCUGAUAGUUUUCUCUCGACAUAUUUAACUAUAUUAAAUACUAAGCAAAAUUACACGUGACAGCCCGUCAUAUAAGGUUGUCACUAAUUACGCACAUCCAGUAACUUACCUAUGCUAAAACUGAGAGAUAAAAAAAAAGAAAAAAAAAAAGAAUGGGUUGUAGAUUAGUCUUGUUCCUGUUUCUUCAAGUCUGAUUGGGCACUACAACACUCAUGCAGUAAAGAUUGCGGCACAAGCUCCCUCCACCUCCAUCAUAUAUAGGGAAGGAGAAUCUCCUCUUCACUUGCUUAACCUCCUCGACCUGUGGUGCAGCAACAAUAACCUUCUCAACCUCUACCAUUGUCUCACCUUCAACAAUAACCUUCUCUGUCACCUGUCACCAUCAUGGUAGGCCGUUAUCCUACCAUCGAAAGUUGAUAGGGCAAAUAUUUGAAUGAUGCGUCGCCAGCAUAAAGGCUGUGCGAUCUGUCAAGUUAUCAUGAAUCAUCAAAGCGAUGGGCAGAGGCUGCGUUGACCUUUUAUCUAAUAAAUGCAUCCAUUCCAAAAGUCAGGAUUUGUUGCACGUAUUAGAUCUAGAAUUACUAUGGUUAUCUGAGUAUUAGAUAACAUUAAACAAACUAUAAGUGAUUAAUGAGUCAUUUGCAGUUUCACGGUAUGAAUUAGUUCAUACUUAGAGAUGGUGGGGGUACACUGGAUUGGGCUACUGGUCCAAUUCAUUUUAUCUCACUUUGUUAGGUAGUUUUUGGUUAGUGAAUAAUGCGAUUACAUUAGACAAUUGUUGGUAGUGUAGAUUGGUUUGUUUUUGUAGCUAUUUCUGGUCCCACAUCAUUAUAUUACGGGAUACUCAAUUCCUAACUUGACAGAGUGACGUCAUUAGUUUUUCUUGGAGUUUUGGUUUUUAAUUUGUAGUUUGUAGUAAGUUCUUAACUUUGUGUGUGAGUGGUCGUCAGAUCAUUCAGACAUUGAUCGCUUUGCAGUCGUUAUUGGCUUUAAGCCUAAUGGAGUUAUUCCGAUUUUUCAAAAAAAAUAAAAUAAAAUUUCGGGAGCUAGACUCCUUUCACUAAUAUAUAUAUAUAUAUAUAUAUAUAUAUAUAUAUAUAUAUNNNNNNNNNNNNNNNNNNNNUCGUCUCUCUCUCUCUCUCUCUCUCUCUCUCUCUCUCUCAUAUGCAUGUUUCCCUGAGCUACAAUUAAUGUAUUCAUGUAUUAAAGAGGGAACGAGCAACACUACAACAAAUGUGGACUAUAAACACCAUUAACAAUGGGGAAGCACAUCUGCUGUGCCCACUAUGUCCCACGACUAGUACCGCGACACAUGUCCUCUCACUUGAUAAAGAUAUAACGCUGUUAACACAUAUUUUUUGUAAUUUAUAACUAAAUUGAUAAAUCAAUAUUUGUAAGUACUGGGUUUUUUUUAGUUGCGACUCCUGGUUUUUCUCGAUAACAACUUCGGAUCAUGAUCUUCAUAAAAAGGAAAACUGAUCGUUUUCUUCAUUUAUAAGAAAAACUUUGAGGCUUCAAUCAUCGUUUAUCAAGAAAUCCUUAUGGCUGAUUAGUAAGAUUGACGAAAGAAAAUUGUAAUGAGGUGGCUCAAAACACAAAAGGCAUACGAGAUGUUUGAAAGAGUGGUGGAUUGGAGUAUUUGAGCGGAGCAGACGGUGGUGGGCGGUGGAGGUUUCCGGCAUGGAAAAUCAAACCCAAACAAUCCAAACAAGAUUUGAUCACCUCAAUCAUUCCUCCCCAUGAAUCAACCCCUGUCAGACUUUCAGCAGCUAUAGGGAAAGGAAUAAAGAAUUAAGGGAAGGGAAUAGAUGAUGGUUUUGUUUUCUGGGUUUGUUUGAUUGUAGAUUUGGGAAACAGAAGAUGAAACGAUUUGUUCAAUACAAAAUAAAAAUAAAAAAUAGAUUUAACAUAGUUAAUUUUCUGUUAAGUGAGAGGACACGUGUCGCAGCAGUAUUCGUGGCACAUAAUGGGUACAAGGUUUUUGGGCACAGCAGAUGUGCUUCCUAAUCCGGAGAUCUUCAUUCUUUGCAUAACCAAACUUGAUGAUCUCUUGCAAGAGGCCACAUGCUCUACGUGCUAUAUAUACUCGAUAAUCCACUUAACUGGUUUUUGCUUUUGAUUCACGACUUCAUCUGCUUGGUCACCAUGGAAAAAAAAAAAUCACUAUGGCACUUAAACUAGUUGUGAUUACUUGUAUAAUUUUAACGAAAGUGAGAGUUUGUCCAAUUAAUAUGAUCACAUUUGCUAGAUGAUAUAGGACCGAUAUCUAUGUAAACAUAUGAAAAAGCAAUUACAAAUAAAGUCAUAAUCCAUUGAGUAAUAGAUUGAUUAAAAUGUAUUAUUAUAAUAUUCAAUUUUUUAUGUAUUGCGCUACAGUAAAGUGGUGUUUAUUGUGAAAAUGUUAUUGUGGGAUGACAGAAAAGAUAAGGGAUCACAGCACCGGAGAUGUAGCGAAUGACUUUUAUCAUCGUUAUAAGGUAAAUUUAAACAAAAAAUCUUCUAGUAACCUCCACUUUCUCAUUAUUUAAUAAUCAAGAGCGCACACUGAAAUAAGUUAUACUUAUAAUCAAUAAAGCCAUAUAUCGCUAUCCUUUGAAGAAGAAAAAUUAAUUGGAUGGCAAUGUAUUGUUAAGUAUUAUAUAUGCUCAAAGAUUAAGUACGUGGUUGUUAUGGGAAUGUGAUUGAUCAUCUCUUAAUAAGAGAUAUGAGUCAUCCAAUCUUAAUUAAUCAUACGGACAAAAAUUUCUCUACAUGCAUUUAAAUUUAAAUGUCGUGUAGCCGUGUGAGGUGGGACCCACCCAAAUGGAAGAGAUUCUGGCUGUAAGAUUAAGAUUAAACGAUUGAUAUUAAGAGAGGAUCUUGAUCCUAUGUUAUAUAGCUAUAAUGUCCUGUUUCGACGACUGAUGCACGAACUGAUGUGACAGGAAGAUAUCAAAUUGAUGAAGAAAAUUGGGUUGGACACCUUCAGAUUCUCAAUCUCAUGGUCCAGAUUACUUCCAAGUAAGAACUAAUUAAGAAGAUAAUGUUGUGUGACCCAUCUUAAUCAUAGAAACAACUAAAUAUAUGUCAAAAAUGGUUAAUAAUUACUUGGCAUGUUCUGAUGUUCAUGGCAACUACAUAAUUAUAUACGUACAUAUGGAUAUGUUCAACUCUUGUGCUUCUCGAUCGAUCAGAGGGAAAACUCAGCGGAGGAGUCAACUCACUCGGUGUCAAAUUUUACAACAAUCUCAUCAAUGAGCUCGUAUCAAACGGUGAACAUCUCAAUUCUGCUCUCAAUUUUCUGGCUCUAUCACAUUUACAUAUGAAUGAAAUUGCUUUCUCUAUCACAUUUCUCUUGACUAAUAAACUGUUAAGUAUUUGACAAGUUUCAUAGUCGACGAUCAUUCCUAAUUUUCCUAUAUAUUAAUUUGAUGUGAGAAUUGAAGGUAUCAAGCCCUUUGUGACUUUACUCCAUUUUGAUCCUCCCCAAGCACUUGAUGAACUGUAUGGCGGGCUCUUAAGCCGUAACAUAAUGUAAGACAACGUGUAUCAGUCAGACGGACUACCCACAUAUAUAUGUAAUUGAUCAUUAUAACUAGUAGUAACGUGAUCAUUUCGGCACUUGAUGUUUAACAGCAACGAUUACGGAGAUUAUGUGGAUUUUUGUUUCAAGACAUUUGGUGAUCGAGUAAAGCAUUGGAUCACGAUGAACGAACCUAACGGAAUUGCUAUUAACGGCUACAACGGCGGUACCAUUGCGCCAGGGCGGUGUUCUAACUACGAGGGAAACUGCACUUCCGGUAACUCAGCGACUGAACCCUACAUUGCGGCACACCAUUUGCUUCUUGCUCAUUCAGCUGCUGUCAAGAUAUACAAGGACAAAUAUCAAGUACUGUAACCCUAGCUGCAUUCGUUAUAUAUUUGAAUAUUACGAUGAAAUGAUAGAUGAAUACGUGAAUAUAGAUAUAUAACUUGAAUUAACGAACUAAUGUGAAUAUAUGAAAGCAGGCUACCCAAAAGGGACAGAUCGGGAUUACCAUAAUAACUCUCUGGUGCAAACCUAAGUUCCCAGAACAGCUGGCUAGCCGGAGAGCCACUCUUAGAUCACUCGACUUUAUGUUUGGAUGGUGAGGCUUAAAUAUUAAGACGUAAUUCUUCUGUAAAACUUCAUGUGUUGAUUUUGUAUGAAUUUUCAAUAUCUUGUAGGUUUGCCAAUCCUAUAUUUCAUGGGGAUUAUCCGGCGGUCAUGAAAUCUUUGGUCGGGGAUCGAUUGCCGAAAUUUACAGAAGCUGAGUCGAAGCAGAUAAAAGGCUCCCUCGAUUUUCUUGGGUUGAAUUACUACACAGCAUAUUACACAGUUGAUGAACCAGCUUUAUCCAACGCUGUCAACCAUAGUUGGAGUGCAGACAGACAAGUCGGUGCUUCUACUAGUAUGCAUCCAUCAAUCAUUAAUCCCCACACGUACCAUAUAUAAUAACUAAGUUCAACUGCUAUUCGAUUCUAACACAUGUAAAUCUAUUUUGUUGUCACAGCUGAUAAAAANNNNNNNNNNNNNNNNNNNNUACUUCUAUCUCUCUCUCUCUCUCUCUCUCUCUCUCUCUCUCUCUCUCUAUUGUAUAUGUUUACAAUUAUAUAUGUGGUAAACAUGCAGACUGAUCUGGAUUGGCUUUUCGUUUAUCCGAAAGGGAUCAGAGAUGUUCUUUUGUAUAUAAAGGAGAAGUACAAUAAUCCAAACAUUUAUAUUACUGAGAAUGGUAAAACGAUUGAUUCUCUUAUACAUAACCAUUACAUGAUUAAUUUUAGUAUUUUAUGUAAGCAUAUGCUAAGAUUGUAUAUAAUUUUGCAGGAUAUCCAUACGGAUAUAAUGCCUCAACACCAAUUCAAGAAGCUCGUAAGGAUAAUUUGAGGAUAAGAUACCAUCACGACCAUUUGUGGUAUCUUUUGAAGGCUAUUAAGUGAGUCACUCUCGUUCAUGUAGUGCAUGGUUUUUGGUAUAAUUUAUAAUUAGAGAUUGAGUUAAUAAUUAUUCGAUUAAUUGUUAUUGAUUGAUUUCAGGAAUGGAGUUAAAGUGAAGGGAUACUACGCAUGGUCGUUUUGGGAUGACUUCGAAUGGGAUACUGGUUACACAGUUGGGUUUGGCCUGACAUUAGUUGAUGUCAAGGAUAAUCUGAAAAGAUACCUCAAGUAUUCUGCCUAUUGGUACAAGAUGUUCCUCCUGCACUGAUAUGCUGUGGCUUAUGGAUUGAUCCAUCACCUAGCCGGCCUGCUGAUCAUAUCUCUCUAUCUACUCCAAAUAAAUUGAGCAAUAAUUUCCCAAUAAUUUAUGUCAUCUACCUAGCUAUAUAUAUGUAUCUUCAGCUAGCUCUCAUCAAUCAGAACUCUUGGUCCGCUUUAAUUGUGUUUUUCUAAUAUAAUACUAUUUGCCGUUUCAAUUUUUUUAUGGAGAUCUAUUUAUGCGCAUACUUUAGUGGGAACUACCAUAUAGUUGAAUUAUCAAUUCAAAUAGCUAGUUUUGUUUACUGUAUCAUUAUGUAAGUAAUGAAAUGAGUGUGUACUGAUAUUGAAUCCACUAUUACAAUCCUGCA